GUUUUUUCCCUCCAUUUUGGAUCUCUAGUUUCACCCAAGUCUUGUGUCUCACCUGUUGCUUGUUUCUGUCUCCUUGCGUUGCCUCUCAGUUUUUAAGUUGCUGCUGGUUUUGUGGUUUUGUUUCAAGUUGGAGUUUUGUCGGACUUUAAUAAGUAAGUUUACCUUUUUCAGACUUUUUUUUGUCAGCUGCUAAAUCCUCCAGUUAAGUCUGUCUGUCUUGGUUAGUUAGCUGCAAAGUAAGCAGUCAAUAUCUUCUUUUAAAAACCCUUUUCAGUUGACUGAAUGACAUGAUUUGUCAUUUUGGCUACACGUCAAAAGUCGUCUCAUAAUUUGCUUGACAAAUUCUGAUCACUGAAGAUAUAAACAGGGUAAGAAACAUGUUAAAAUAACUAUGUCUGUCCCCCAGAUUCCCACCUGUACUCUGCUCACUAAGUCAUCUCUACUUUGAGGAACUGGAGCUGUUCUUAAGGUGGACCUCUUCAUCUGGACCAAAAUGAAGAUAUCAAGGUAGGAUGUUUACAUGUUUCAGAUCUGAUAAGUUCCUUUUUUGGUAGAUUUCUGGUGAACAAAAAGCAGGAAAACCAAAAAGAGAUUGUUGCUUGUUGACACUGACUUCGUUGGCCCGCAUUGAGGCAAAUCUACAUUUAACUUUUGUUUAGUUCAGUUUGUUCCUCUUGACAAAAUAACACAGUUUGUGACCUGUUACAGUGCUUUGGGAAUUGUGGAGUACAGAAUAUAGCUGUUUACUUUAGUCUGGUUGCUGUUGGUUUUGCUGGGUUUGGGUCACGUGGGCACUGUGUUUGAAAGCCGGUAGUUUAUAUAAGGGGUGGUCUCACCUGCACUGGGGUGGAGAGGUGAGCCUAGGUAGCCGUAUUCUUUGUUGACUGGGCUUCAUGUUCUUUUUUGCAAUGAUACGUGUCGCAAAUUGUACACAUAUUAUAUCCGAUAUACGCAUGUAAAUCAUUGGCAACUAUGGAAGCGUUUUUUCUGUUAUUAAAGCUCCAGAAAACUUAGACCAACCUAUCCUCUGCCUCAAGCGACUUUUUUAAAGGUACUAGAAAAGCCCAGUAAUAUUCAUCUAAUUGAACAGUUUUGCACCGUGUCAGAGCUGCGUAAGAAAAUGAAGAUAUCAAGGUAGGAUGUUUACGUUUCAGAUCUGAUAGGUUUCUUAUUGGCAGAUUUCUGGUGAACAAAAAGAAGUAAAACCUUUAAAGAGGUUCUUGCUUGUUGACACUGAGUUAGCUGGGCCGCAUUGAGGCAAGUCUCCAUUUAACUUUAGUUCAGUUCAGUUUGUUCCUCUUUAUAAAAAACACACAGUUUAUGACCUGUUACAGUGCUUUGGGAAUUGUGGAGUACAGAAUAUAUAUAGCUGUUUUCUUGUUUUCUAUAGUGAAAAAGCUGCUUGAGUGGCACAGAAAUGAAGUAGUGGGUUGAAAGUUAAUAACACAGGGAGUCUGAGUCUGCUGCUUUGGGACUCCCGGGGACUUUUCAUCUGAUAAUCCAUCUACAAAUUAAUCCCUGUCUACUUCAAAUGAAGAGGGGCUUUAGGAUUAGUUCUUUGAAGUUUGAAAAGGGGACCUCUGAGCAUUCAGUGCAGGCCAUUGCUCCCUUUAAUUGUCCAUAUGCGGCGAUUUCAAUGUUUAAAGUUCAUUUCCAUGUGAUCGCUCUAACAGGCCAAUCCUGAGGGUUCACAGUCCCUCAAUCUACAUGCAGAUUAUUUCACAAUCCCUCUGAGCUUUCUCCAAAUCUGCUGUCACUUCUGAAUAAUCAGGUUGUAUCAGCAUCGCUGCAUGCUUACAUGAUUUAAAAUUGGCUAAAUACCAUUAGGGUUUCUUGCUUGUCUCUAAUGUAACGUGUGGGUAAAAUCGUCCUCCGGCUCACCGGUGUGAUAAUUGAAUUUAACUCAGUGCUCACUCAAAGCUGGUGUCAAGUGUUAUGAAUAAAAGGGCCCUCACCUGAAUGAAGAGGGCUGUUUAAUGCUUCUUCAGGCACAUCAAACAUUGGCUGUAAGAGAGAGUGGGGGGCGGGUGGAGCGAGCUGCUGUUUCCUGCUGCAUUGUGGAGGUGGGAUGGAUAAUUACCAGCGGCCUUCUCUCUGAUUAGUAAUCUGAUGAGACUGCAGAGCCAUAAGCAGAGACAGCACAGCCACCCACCUGAUUUUAAAUGACAGUGCAGGCCUCCGCUGUCAGUUUGUAUCCUUCACAAAUGUUCGGGGAAAUGUAUCUGCAGUGUGGCUGUAAUCACGACAGAAAAAGUCACAUUUUGAAGUUGACAUUUGAGCUGCAUUAAAUAUGUAAGUAUAAAAGAUGGGAGCAAAAUUUAGAGCUGGUUCAGGGAGGAAAUCUGCCUCGUCUUCAUGGGUCGAUGACUUACUUCUGUGCUGGUUCAAAAGAGGCCCGGUGGAUAAUACACUUACUCUGUUUAGGUACUUGAUACAAGUAUUUACGUAGAGACUAGGAAGGUAAACAUGCAGCUUGCACGAAUCAUGCAACUUUUCCAGUUCAAGUAAUUUGUACGAGCCAAAGAUUUCAAACACAAAUGCAAAAGUCUGCAAUUGUAUUAUUUUUCGACCUCCAAAAGUUGCUCCAGAGACUUUAAAACUAAUGGCUAAUGACCCCUUUGUUUUAAUUUUCAGUGUGCAACAACAAGGCAAGUUUAUUUGUAUAGUACCAUUCAUACACAAGGCAAUUUAAAGGGCUUUACAGAUGCAAGGAAAUACAUAAAAAAUGUAAAAAGGAGAGAUUAAAACAAUUUAAAAUCAAAAACACAAACAGAUACAUUUUUUUGUCUGUUCACUAUUUUCCCUGAACAACAUGAAAACCAUAAUUUCCCAGAAAAAAUAAAAUAAAAUACACAAGCUUUCAGACCCAGGGCUCCCCUGAUGGUAGACCAACAUUUACCCCCACAAUGCCACAAUGCUAACUUAAUGACUAAGCAGUAGGCUAGCUAUUAUACACACUAUACGAGACUCUUAUUUCAAAGGAUCAUCCAGUACUUUACCUAUCCCUAAGGUUGUAAUUAAGUGCAUCCUGUACAGCUCAACAUAUCCCAUGAUCCUUUGUUUCCCAUUUGAAAUAUCAUUAUGGUGUUUACUAGAUGCUAGCCAAGGUAGAGCGACAAUGGCGGUGCAGGAAAGACUAAUGACGUGGGCUAGAUAGACUCAAUUUAGUUCAGUCUGGCCAUGAAGGCUGAGUCCUAAUGUGUGCGUAACAAGAUAAACAACUUUUAACUUUGUAGAUCUGUGACAUGAUCUGCACAACUACCUGCCACAUAAAAUCCCCAAAGGAUUAGUGAACGUGUCUUCCCAGCUGGAUUUUGACAGACUUGUUUUCUGUGAUUUAUAAGAGGGACUUGGCAGAGCUUGUUUGAACUUACUGCCUGUUUCGACUAACUUCUUCUACUAUGGGGAACAACCACAGACUUUAAAAUCUGCUGACAUAUUUAAUCAACUUUUAUCUUUUAACAGAGUGACUUGAUGGAUCUUAUAAAUGCCAUUAUUUAGUGAAAGAGUUUGAAUAUAUGUUUCAUGGCGUCACCAAGCAGCUCGACUCUAUUUAACUCUGCUGCGAUUUGAUGUCUUCAUAUUUAGGAUAUGCAUCAGUAUUCGACUCCUGGAGGGUACUCUGGAUAUGAGGAGGAGGGUUUUAAGAUUACCCUCCACAGUCUCCUCUCCAUGGCUCCACAAGGGGAUUUCAUCUUCCUCUAGAUACACAUCAAUUAUCACAGUGAAGCCACCUUGGGGCUUCAAGGUUUGAUAAUAAAUUAAGUUCUCUUGAACAUUUUUCAACAUCACCAUGGUCCCUUAUCACCAUCCACGGCAGAUGAGUGUGUGGAGGGAGUUUUUCAGGGCUGAGGUCGGAGGAGAAGUUUCUAGGGUUUUUGACACCGCAGCAACCUCAUACUGUAGACUAUUAAUUAGGGAACAUCGCCGCAUCUCAUCCCCGCCGCCGCUGAGCAUUCACCCCUCCACUGAUCAGAUAAGAGUACACACAUAGAUCAUUUGGCGUUGCUGCUUCACUGAUUACAUCUUCAGCAGCAUUAUGCAAAAGAAGCUCCAUGAAUAAAAUCCAUCUGGGUGGACACAAAGUCUGUAACACCUCAUGUUUUAUUGAUACUUUGCAUGCUAACAGUCGGAGUUCAUCCUUCAAAACAUUUAAUGCUUCAGUUAAUUUCACAGGAUGUCAGCAGGACCUCAGCCUCACCUUCCUUUCCUCCAGGUGUCCUGACAGAUGAUGGAAACUGGAUGAGGAACAGCUUGGUUGUUUGUGUGUGAUUAGGCUUUGGGGCGUGUGCACGAGCGUCUUGGUGGUAUCUCUUCAGCCUCUAUCUUUCUCAUAUUUAUGCUCUCCUCUUCUUCAGUAUGGGUAACGUGCAAUAUAGUACGCUGCCUGUUUGCUUGUGGUCUCCUUGGCAUGUGUUCUGUUUGCAUGGAGGUUAUUGUUAUUGAUGGUGGUUCAAUAGUUUGUGAAUGCAUCUGAGCAUGUGCAGGACUUGACUCAAGAUGGUUUUACAAGGGUAUCAUACCUUGUUACAUAAUACUGAAUCAUGAAAAAGGAUAUAAUAUGAUAUAUAAUUGUCCAUAUUGUAUCAUAUCAUUUCAUUUCAUAUCAUAUUUAUCUAAGUAAACAGUUUUGCAACACGUCAUACAUAUUAUAUCGUACCAAAUCAUUUCUUAUAUCAUAUUGUAUCAUGUAUUGUUGUGUCGUAUUAUAUCAAGUGUUCAACUCCUCAGUAAGGAAAGUCACUAGUGGCUGUCCUAGAGGUCGCUAGAUGACGCCAUCGCCUAAUUUGCAUAGUUUUUAAGAGGGGUCUUCCUUAGGGUGUCUGUAUGUGUGUGUGUGUGUGUGUGUGUGUGUGUGUGUGUGUGUGUGUGUGUGUGUGUGUGUGUAAUUUCGGUGCCCACCUGCUACCCAAAAUCGAUUACCCGCUUUCAUGUCAUCGUCUCCAAACUGCGCAAAAAGUUGCUAGAUUUGUUGAUAGGUGCUUUUUUUAAAAUAAGUCGCUGAAUAAAGUCGCUAGGUUAGCAACACUGAUUGUAUCUUAUUGUAGCUUAGUAUAUAUUAUGUUGUAUUACAUUGUAUCAUAUUGUAUCAUAUCAAAUGAUUUGAUAUUGUUGUAUCCAUAGACUGUAUAUACUAUGGACAACUUGGCUCCGCCUUCCGUCAUUGUACGAAUUUGAAGCCAAAUUGCUCUUGUUACUUCCGGGAUUUUCUCCACUUCCUGGAACCACCACUUGCCCGGUAUCAUUGUACAAAUUCAGCAGGAGAGUCACUGUGAUGACGCUCUGCAAUCUUCGUACACCCAUAGGCUGUAUCACGUGUCAAUCAUAGAAAACAUGAACCCCCUGAUAACUUUUAAAAUUGGAGCUGCACAGAAAAAAAGAGGACUUGAGCACAAACCAGUCUUACAGAAACUACAUGUCAACAUCAGAAAAAUGUAUAUUCUUAAUUUCUAAAGCUUGUCCACAUCGCCAUUAAAUUUGCUGGAGGAGGCGGGACUUAUGACCUAUACUGCAGCCCGUCACCAGAGGGUGCUGUUCUUGCAGAGGCUUCACCCAGUGAGGAGGCAGACAACAACCAUUCUAUAUACAGUCUACGGUCAUAACGAAUCAUGUGGUUUCAUAUCAUAUCAUAUCACAUCACACUGUGUCGCAUUGAAUCCUGUCUUAUUAGUUCAUAUCCGACCUUACUGAACCCUUUUGUAUCUUUUCUUAUUGUAUCCUAUCAACUUAGACUAAGAAUGAGGAGACCUCAAAGUUUCCUAUUAAAUUUCAGCAGGCUGUGGUUGUAUUCAGAAAAACAUCCCCUGCAGAGAGCAAAAUAGGAAGAGCACAUUGGCUGAAAAUAUGAAAUAAAACCAUAAAACAAAAUUCAAAAUCCAGACGAGGAUGAAAUAGUUUUUUGUUCCCAGUGUGAGUCCACCCAUGCUGUGACUCUUUACAUGAGAGACAUUGUAUUUAAACCCUCAUGAGUAACAGGGAAUAAAACAUCCAGGGAGAGACUUUAUUAUUUAGACAAACAAUAUACUGCUGAUACACAAAAUAGAGUGCUUCAAACAUCCUCCUAUGGAGCUCAUGGCUUUGCUCUCAGGUCCAGUCCUCAUUGUUUGGCAGAGCUCAGAAUUGAUAAAGAGGUUUUGCUGGUAUUUUCACAUUUUGCAGAUACCUUUUUUAAGGCAAGAUUUUGAAUUCUUUAACUAAAAAUCUAAGAAAUUCAGCAUCUGCAGAGGAUCUACAGCGUAGUGCUGUGAAAAUGAUAAUGAUACCCUGCACUGAUUGGCUGCCUGGAACAUGUCUGUAGAGGGAGGAUACAGACUGGUGCAGAUGGAUGCGGAGGCAGAAAAAUCACCAAACAAACAGGGCGAGUGCUCAAGAAAAAAACCUGCAUCAGAACCAAGCCAAAAGUUUCUCGGUCUAUCUGUGAUCCAAUGAAACCACAACAGGACUUUCAGAUGCUAACUUUAUCUUCAGGAAUGGAGCAUAUUUGUAAAGACUAAACAUGAUUAAACCUGCAAAAUUCCAAACUUUGUAGCAUGUCUGCCAAAUGUAGAAACACAACAGUCGCAGAAUAUCCUCCAAAUGGGCGGGAAAUUUGAGCAUUUUUGUGAUUGAUUUCCUGUGAUUGAGUCAUUUACAACUUACAACCUUAAAAGUUGAGCAAGUAAAGCUAAUUUCUCAUCAUUUUUUAACUUGCUGUUGUAAUAAAUGACACCGUAUUCAUCCAGAAGAGGUUACACUUUUGCAUCUUAGACUAGGGUGACCAAACGUCCUCUUUUACCCGGACAUGUCCUCUUUUUGGGGGGCUGUCCUGGUUUGUCUGGCUUUGUCCAGGAAGUUUAUAAGAUCCACUAAAUAUCAAUUUAUUAGUGAAUUUGUGUCACGUGGAUUUACUGAGUUAGAAGCGCGUAAAAGACCCUCGAUCCGACCCAAAAAACUCUCAAAAUUAACUUUGUGUGACUCAGUGACUCCGCCCCCGAGUAGUCAUGUCCUCUUUUUGGGAAGUCAGAAUAUGGUCACCCUAUCCUAGACCAAAAUGUGUUUUCUUCUCGCCCAGAUCUCCUCCAUCACUCAGCGUUUUCCUUACCCCCACAUUUCAUGAUCUAAUAGGAAAUAAUGUGCUGAAAUCCAGCUCACAAAAUUAGUCAAAGCUGUAUAAAUUAUGCUCCACCAAAAGCCAAAAGAUGUGCUCUUCUCUGACAGAGAUACUUUGAAUGAGAUGCGAAAGAUGUAACAUGAACUACUUUUCUGAAGCAGCCUAAUUUCUGAGAUGAAUAGUUGUGAUCAUAAACCUGAAUCAGGUUUGCCCGGAAAUCCGUCUGAGCAGGACCGGGACAAGACACGUCUUCAAAGCACAUAAAACAUGAGCUUUCAGGUUCUCUAGUUUCCAGGCUGAAUAUCAAAACCUUCUUUGCUGAAAACAGCUGCGUUGUUGAGCUGAAAACAACACCAUUAGAGCUGUGAGAGUGAACAAACUAAGUGGAUUCAUUGGCUGGAAGGCUAAACAAAGAUUUACUCGUGAUUUACUGUGAGGCGCCUCUUUCACUCCGAGAUUUUCACAUGAUCUUCAAUUGUUUUUUUAAAAGCUGCUUUGAUUUUGUACAUUUUUAUUAAAUACGUCCACAUUAAAUGUAUCUGACUCGCUUAAAAGGUGGUCUAUGUGUCCUGGAAUUACACUUCAGCGUAUGCAUGGCAUAUUAAGACAGAAAUUCAAGAUCACUUUGAUCACUUCAAGGUAAAAUCACUGGAAACUCAGUCUGCCAGGAAUCAGCAUAUGUAAUCAUAGAGGCUCUUUGAAGUCAGAUUUUGGGUCAAAUUGGGUCAAAAAUUGGUGUAAGUUAUAAACUUUUUACAAUUAAGUAUAAGAUUCUCUCAGAAGAAGUUAACAUUUCUUAAAAUUGGUUUUGAUCGCCUUUAAGUGAGGGCGGUAAACUACUUCUAGUGAUCAAAAAUGUCAGUUCUGUCGACUUUUAGAUGCAUAUCUAUUUAUGAUCAUAUCAUUAAGUUUAUGUUUGUUUAUUAUGUCUCUUCUUAUUCUUGUGAAGCUGUGGUAUCAGUGCAGCAGAUGUCAGAGGAUAACUGUUAUAUUUAUAUAAGUCUGGGUGAGUUUUUCGGGUUCAUUUGUUCAGACAUGAGGCACAGCUGCAGGAGCAAGGUGGAACUGAAGAAUACGGUUUCAUUUUUACCGUCAGACAGAUCCGAACUGUUGCCGCUCCUUCACCCUGUGCACGCAGAAGAAGGUCGCAUCAAUAUGUAUGCAGAAACACUGCGAUUGAAGGUUUCCUCGCUCACCAGCGCACACACACAGAAACACAGGACUCUGUUUUUGAUUGCGAAACUAGCAGGAGUGGUGCACAUUCACAACAGCAUGUAGAAAAAAGGAAAAACUGAUUAAUUCAGGAAUCAAAGGGAGGAAAGUACAGCUUUUCUCUGCCGUGCUCUGAAACUCUGAUGAUGUUGAAACGAGGUUAAAUGUAUUUACAGAAAGAAAUUCAACCACACUGUGCGCCUGGUUUAUUUAGGCUAUGGUACACGACAACAGCAGAAGUUAUACUUACUAAGUCUCUUAAUGGUUAUUUAACUUAUUGACUCAAAGAAGCACAUUUGCAAAGAGCUCAGCAGCAAUAUGGAUUCAGUUAAAUGUCAAGAUUAGCAGCCAUGCUAAUAUACUUACCUUACAAGAGGAGUACAGGCCAUCCGGAUGUUGUUGAAUAGUAACAUCCUGGUUCGAAUAUACACCAGGACAGCCCCUCUUUACAGGAUUCAUGUUUAGAAAAAUACAGAAAUGCGCUUUUAUUUACAGUCUGGAUGUUAUGGUAAAUUAAAGCUCUAGUAUGGAACUUUCUGUCAGUGUUGACUUUAGUGCCCCCUGUGGACAAAGUGGUAACCCUCAAAUCACAGCUGAUUUAGUCUCAUCCAUGUGACAAAGUGUUAAUUGACCCAAAAAAACUUUUUUUAGGGAGAAAUUUACUAGAGUGAAUUUUUGCUGUGGGAAAAGUUACAGGUGCUUUUUCUUUUGCGUGACUCUCCUCUUACACAAGCUAGAAUCAUUAAAAUUUACGAUCAGGAAAUUAUCCAUUUCAUCACUGAUGUCAUUUGCUUUCAUAUCACACAGAGAUCGUUGUUCAUUUCAGGCUCUUUUAUAAUGUAUUAAUAAAAUCCUCACCGGGGCUUUAAACACGAAAAUAGUUUCUGUGACAGAUAAUGCAGAGAAACAGGAAGAAAGAGGGUUUAGAAAUCCCAACAGAAAGUCCUGAAAACUUUCAACACGGUUGGCUUUAUUACAACUCAUGUCUUUAUCUUCAUAGCAUUCGAUAACUUAGAGAUGCACUUACUUGAGAGGAGGAUCUGAUAUCAAACUAUCUAUUUCUUUUAACCAACCUAUCAGCAUGCUAUCAAUAGCUGGACUAUCACUGUGUUUCUCCGUCUUUCAUCCCCCUGGUAAUGUGGUUGUGAGUGGAGACCCUAAAUAUAAGUCAGUUACACUUUUUCAGAUGUACCUUCAUGAAAAAAGUCUUCUAUUUGGAUCAAUAAAGUGAAUGACAAUCAAGACAGGACAAAUUACCAUUUCAUCAAAAUGUAGAGGCAGCACAGAGUCAAGUUUUUCCAGUCAGCUGCAUCUUUAGAAGUUCAGUCGUAGCAACAACUUUGGCAAUUAGACACCAUCAAGACAGUUUCAUUGAUUCAAGGGGUGCUGAGGCCAGUUUUAGAUCAUUUACUUUAAUCUGUAUGGUUUAAAAGGAGGAAAAUUCUCUUUUUGUUUUUAUUUGUUUAGUUUUUAGAGUAAAUGACAACAAUCUCAGUCACAAAGCAGGUUUAGGGACUAAACCUCUGGCUAAACAUUCAGCACGUUAAUUAUAGUUAUGCAUGUAUACUUUCUUAAAGCUGCAGCAUGCUUAAUUGGUGAAACUGGGGUUUUCUUGGUUUAUAAGCUAAACCAAAUGUCUACGACCAGGUUCAUUUUCCAUUAUAAAGCAGUUUUUCGGGCCACACAACACUCUAGAUCAGCGUUUUCUCUUCAGUGUGAUUUGCAUGGAGUCUCCAGCUUCUAUCAUUCUUCUCUCCAGACUCAUCAUAUUCACACCCACGCUCCGGUUUCACCCCACACUGAAUCAGAUUCGUAGGCCGUAUCUAGAUUCAAAUGACAUCCGGUAUUUAUCCCCAUCCAUGCUGGCAACAUCCAGCGUGUUGUGCUGUGCAUCAAAUUCCCUCAACUCCUCCGUGUAAUUAUUCAGUCUCUGCGCCUGUAACACAUCAGUAAUGCUGUUUAUGGCCCAAGGUCAGAGCAGAGGGGGCUGGGGAGCCAAGCCUGUGAUGGAUUAAUACUUUCCAGGGCUUUGAACUCUCGGAGACAGUGACACAUUUCAGUGAAUCAAAAUAGGCUCUUUUUAAAGACUCCUUUUUCUCUGACAGGGGUUGAAAAUACAGCCUCAGUGUUUCCCUGGGAGUCACUGUGAUCUAAAGACUCAACUACCAGUAAACACAAGGUUAAAUCAUCAAAAAAAACCUCAGGAUAGGGUGGAUAUAAAGGCAGAUAUCUUCAUUUUUGAAUUAAAGUUUCCAGGAACGAUUAUAUUCAUUCAAAAGAGUCUUUUCAAAUGUUUAACCAAAUACAGACUUUGUUAAACAAGUCCUUUCAUUCAGGUUUCAUUCUUGUGCUUUUCGAGUGCUCGAAGCAGUUCAUCCGUGAGUGAUUCUUUUCAUUUACAACUAAUCAUUCAGCCGAGUUGCAUCUCAAAACCCAAAUCAAUUUGUGUUUUUCUGCUGCUCUUUACCCACAACCAAGUAAUCAGCCGUUCCAGCUCCGUGUUGCUUGAAAAGAUGUGCAGAAAAGCCACGAGAGAUCUCUUGACUUCCACCUUGAACUUGAAAGGGAAGUUGUUUUUUGCUUUGGGCUUGUUGUUCUGCCAUGGUUCAGCUGAAUGCACAUACAAAAUGAAGGAGCUUGUUACCUCCGCCUCCAACAACUCCCUCUGCGGUUUGUACCCUCGCUGUGGUUUAGAUUUGUUAUUUGCGGAUGCAGUCUCGGGGGUUUGACCUGAGUUUGAACAGUUCAGUAGUCCUCUGGGUUUUGUGAGCUCAAUGGAAGGCGUGAUAUGAGCAGAUUAACGGGAUUUGGAGUUUUUAGGCUGUUCUCUGGUCUUGGUUUUUCUCUUAAAAGUGGACUCAGAAGACAGGUUGAAGGACCGGCGAGUACUUUAUCCAGCUUACUGCAGCUGGUGCUUGAAAUAUAACAAUCUGUGUCCAAUUUUCUGUCAUUUCUGAACACCUUCCACUUUCCUCCUGCUGAAAUCAGCCGACUUACGGAUAGAUUACUGUUGAACGUACAGUUUUUAGAUCUGUAUUUCCUGACUUCUUCCCUUUUUAAGAGACUCAUCCAACUUUUUUGAAGUUUUCUUUCAGAACAAAAGAAAAGAUUCAGCUGUGAAAUGUUUGUCUGACACCCUCCAGCUCCUGACUAAAAGCCGGGGCCUUUUACUCUGCCUACAUCUCACCUCUUGUCCCAGAGGCUCACACAUCUUCUUCAUUCAGUAUCAGUGUGUGUUCAGGAUCAUGUCUUUGUCAGACUAAAUUUGUCAAACUUGCUGAAUUAAACCUCCCCCCUGUACCUCCCUCGUUCCCCUUUUCUCUGCCUCAGCUAAAACUUCCCUCAGAGUGUCACUGAAGUGUCCUCAGUCAGGGUGUACAGUGAAAGUUAAUGCGAUAAUUAUUUCCUUAUAUCAGCAGCACACUUAUCACAGGCUGACUUCCAGGCCUGAAGCAUACAUUAAAGCUUCUCAUGGGAGUAGAAAAGAGGUGCGCUCGGUGCGUUUAUAAUGAGUUCGAAGCAUAAAAAUCACAUGAACAAAUUAAACUUUAAAAAGUCAAACAUUAGUCUUGCUCUAAUAAAACUUGUCAACCCCACAUCUUUAACCUAAAUUAGCCUUGAAGGUGUUUCUUUCUCAUUCGUUUAAACUGACGCGGUACAGCUUUAAGAGACCAACAGCAUGUCGACAUGGUGCGACGCAGACGGUAAAGCUAGCACAGAUAGUUGGAUUAAAAAUGAUAGACAGCUGCUGAUGAAGGCGCCUUAAUCAGUCCAUCUUAAUGUUAUUUAAAUUUUAUAAAACUGACUUUGGUGAUGUAACUCCUGCAUGUAAGUACAUAAUGGAGAAGUAGAGGGAGGAAAAAGUGACUGUCGGGUUAAAUUGGGUCUCUUGAGGAGUUGAGGUUAUUGAGUCCCCCUUACAUAAAAAUUCCCCGACCCUGCAUACCUUUGAGUCUCAUCUUUAGACCCAGCAUGAACCAGCUUUUAUUGCUUUACUGGACAGUCCACUGACUCUGUUGUGUUUCUACAUUUUACAGAUUGUUUAUUUCUGCCCCCGUUGUUACUGUGCGUCACAUUAUUGUUUGCUCCACAAAUAAAGUGCAUCGGAGUGUAAUAGAAAACGGUCGUAAACUUAAUCAAAUAAUAGCUGCAUUUAAUCCUUACAGACUUGUUUUAUUUGCAGCUACAUUUAUAGAAACUUAUUGAAGGUGUAUUUUCUCUUGUUUUGCAGAUGAACCCGGUCUGCAGUGAUUGCACACAGCCUUUAUUUGAUUAUCUACUAGCCUAUUUGUUCUAAAUGAGAUUAUUUCAUCAAUUGCCUCAUGGCGAAUAACAACAACAUGAAUCUUCAGGCCGCUACAAGAGGAAACAGUUAUCAAUGGGGGAUAAUAUUCUUGAUCCAUUUCUACAGGCUGUCUUGGUUCUCUGUGUUUUAUGUGAAUCUAUGGGAGUAUCAGCUCUCUUACAGGGCAGCUCUUCAUGGAGUAAACACAGUUAGGGUCACUGUUAGAUCAGCUUUUAAAGCCAAAGGAAUUAGAAAACUGUUCACUUAAGGUGACCAGAUUUCUGUAAUGAAAUCCGACAUGGGCUGCGUGAUCACAGACAACAUCUCGGUAUGACUUGGUAGCAGCGCAUGCCCUCUGUAAUAACCCCACCGUAAAAACUGUUGUUCAGGACUGUGCGCAACAUGCUUACUUGUGCGUCAUACCCACUCAACUACCGUGAUAACCAAUCUACAUGCACAUCUUUGUUCUCUGCCAUGAAACGCUUAAAUCAGGGACAUUUGCGGGGACAGCUUUAGCCACGGACAGGUCAUCCGAUACAGGCACUAUCCCUGGAAAUCGGGGACGUCUGGUCACCUUAUGUUCUCUCCUCAUUUAUCAAUAUGAUUUAUCAAUAACAGUAAUUUGCUUGGAAGCUAAUGUUAGUCCGACUUUGAGUAUAGCGACCCACACACAACCCCCACUCAACCAGUUGAGUGGAUUCAGAGCUAAGAUGAGCAGAUUAAGGUUAAGUAUCACCUUGAAAAAAAAAAAACAAGUCUAUUCAUUCAGUUCCCAAUUCAUUGAUUCGCUCAUGCACUAUUUUAAAACAACGAUCCUCACUGUUCUCAGGUCAAAUAUUUAUAUGUGAUUAAAUUGCGAUUAAUUAGAUCAACUUUUUUAAUCGAAUCCCAGCUCUAAAAUAUAUCUAUUUUUUUCCAGCAUAUUGGAUACUUGAGGGCAGACAGGAUGUUGCACAAACCUGAGCAGACACUCUCAGUGAAGUCUAACUACAUAUACAGCAAUCCAUUUUUUCACAGGCCCUUCUCACAUAAAGACACUGUGUGUACAGCCUCCCCCAGCCUGUUUCCCGAGAGCAGGGAUAAACAUAUGGUAGUUUUAUAGCAGCCAAUUACAAUAAGCAAAAGACACCAGCCCAUAAGCACUCGCAGACUCUGGCUAUCCAUUUCGGACUAACUGUGAGCCAGCUAAUUGAGGGUAGUUAAAAGUCCAUGCACUGCAGCCAAACCGCAUCUCCACUUGUAUGUUUUUCACAUAGUUCAGGCUUGUCCAACAUCCCUGCAGGACUGAGCCGCACAGUGUGAGUCUAACGCAAGAAACGAGGAAAUGUCUGCUGGUAAGGAGUCACUUAGUUUAGCAAACUGUUUCCUGGAGUCUCCAUAUGGAGGGUGAAUAAAAACCUGAACUCCAGGAAAUAUUGUUGUAUAUUUGUGCAUGUUUGUGUGUGUAGGUAGUAGUAUUUCCAGGAGUGUGUGUGUGUGUGCUCUAUAAUGACUUUUUUUUUUAGCUCUGGGGUAAGCAGAUGAAACAUUGAAGACAGCUGUUGGUGCAGUAAAAACCACAUGCUGCUCCUCUCUUUUCAACAUAUUGGUCGUUAGCCUGACACCGCACCAACUGUAACUUUCGCCGCAGUUAUGUGUCAUUUACGACUCGUUUUAGAUCAAUGCCAUGCGGGUCAUUGUAGCUGCAAAAACUCCUCCUCUGUCCAAUGCACCAAGUUAGAGAAGACGGGAUAAGACCAGGUAAGGUAUUAAGUGUCUUUCCCUCACCUUGACAGCUGCUGACUGGCCUUCUCAUCUCUGGGUCUUUUCCUCUAGAAAUUCUAAAGGGAGCGAAGGGUCACGAGUGGCGAUCCGCCUCAGAGCGCCUGCUUAGACUUCAUUAUGCAGAUUUCCUCCAUUUUGGGAUUCUGAGUCCUCAUCCUCCGUCUCCCUGCUGAGUCUGGAGUCGAGUGAUUAAAGGUUGGCAGAGAGGGAAAGAUGUCAGAGGACUCAGGAUGUCGACAAGUCUUUGGAGACUCCUGUGGGCUGCUUGACAGUCACAGGCCCCGACAUGAAAAUGACUAAAGAGUAAAAAGCUUUUCCUAAAAGCUGAUGGUUUCUUUGCUUAGAAAUAGAUUCAAAAUGUGUCUUUUUACUGCUGCAGAUAAUGUCCAUAAUGUCCAAAAGUCACCAGAAAGAACAGUUACAAUGUAAAACCGGAUGUUAAGUAUAAUUUAAGAUCCCUCUGUGCACAGUUUUGUGCAGGAACAUUACCAUAAGCUUUAAAGACUGGCAGGUUUUAUACCACGCUGAAGGACAGCAGAGCUUGUUUUGUUAAGUGAUUUAAGUGAAAUUGAAAGCAGUAUUCGGUUUAUGUUUUACUCUCCCAUCCAGGAACACAGAAGGGACGUACUUUUUGGUAAAAUGUCCACAACUAAUAAGGGUUUAUUCUGGUUGGAUGAUUAUAAAAAAGCUGAAGUUGAGAGAAACCUUAUAGUAGCAGCAAAGCCAGGGAGGAAAAGCAGAGUACAAUGUUCAAGACUGAGCUUGAAAAAAUAUCUACUUUGACUUCAGUGGAUUAUCAGACCACUGUUCCUAACCCGUGGUCUGAACAUUUGGUGCAAGUGGCAUGUAAAUAAGAUGAACUCAAUCAAGCAAACAAGAGGGAGUUCUAGUUUAUCGUCUCAUGUAUAUGAGCCUGAUUCGUCUGUUUUAAUUUGGUCAAAUUUCCUCAAAAUCAUCACAGAUAUUUUGUGUUUGAGGCGUUUCAGUUUUACACUCUUGAAAACACACUGGUCUUAUAUGUUGGUCGGAAAAGCUCCUGGAUGUUGCAGAGAAGCAUAAAUUCAGUGCCAGUAAGCUGCCGGUCUCACAAAGCAAGUGGAUUCUACAGAAAGUCAUUACAUUGAACUGUUCUAGUUUUUAAGGUGAUAGCAUAAACAUAGUAACAUGCAUCAACCCUGUAAAUGACUAAACCUCAAAUAUAAGAUCAUUAGACUUUUUUUAAACUUUUGGGCCAAGCCUGUGAAGGACUUGGACUUUGGAGCCUACCCAGACUGCUAAAGGCUAAUUUAUGCUCGCCAUGCAUAUGAAAAUGUAUGUGUCCGUUUCAAACAAUGGUUCUGUCACUUCCCACAUACUUCCAUGCGUCCUUUACAUUUGCAUGGAUGUUAACCAUUACAUCCACCAGGGGGCAAAGGAGACAGAAACGGAGGCAGUGUUAGAGGAGGCGGUGGUCGGUCAGGCCACUAAAUGUCUCGCGGUUGGGGGACAGAGAAUUCUUUUUUUUAAUAGUACUGAUGAGAUAAAUUGACGAAGAUUGCCAUCUUUAGCCCUGCCAUUGUCUUUUUCAUUUCUCUAUAGAGAUGCGUAUCGGGUAGUGACUAGUGACAGCAGCAACACUGCCCCCACAGUUUCCGGUGGUACCGCUCCGUCAAGGAUAUGUGCAAAAAGAACGAAAAGAACACAAAGCACAGAGCUCCAUCCACAUCUGGAUCGUUGUAUGUAACGUUGAGCAUAAAUGAGCCUUAAGGCUAACAUAACUACUCUCAUGUUUGUUUUGUUUGAGCUGGUGCACAGUACACUGACUCUGUAGGAUGCCCAUGACACUUGUGGGGUAGGCGAAUGCAUUUGUUCAUGCUAUCUGAAGGAGCCUUUGAACUGUGGCAGCCUUCAUUGAUGCAGCCUGUCUUGUAAUGCAUCCAUCAUAGGAUGCAGCCCUUGGGGUACAGCUUGCAUCUUGGCAACUUGAUUUCAACCCAUGCCUCGAAACUGCUGCAGAGAUGUUUUUAUAUCAUAAUCCUCUCUCAGCCCCCCCACUUCCUGUUCACCUUCUCACUCACAGUUACAUAAGAGCGUCAAUGCCAAUAAAAAGGAGUCAACGGCACAUCUCCAAGCAACAGCCUAUUUAAGAAAUGCCAACCAGAGUCGAGGCUUUAAGUCUUUUCCCACAAAUGCCUUUUUUCAAUAAUGAAGCUAUCUCAGAUCACAUUAGCACUCUUGUUGUCCUUUUAAACUCCCAUGUACAAACCCAGAAUAGCGGGAGCUUGUCUUGAUAGCUUAGAGGGUCUUUACAGAUUGGUGCCUUGUAAUUUUCCUCUCAGAUUUCCUUCAGAAAAAUGACAGAAUCAGAUGACUGCUGAAAGCUUUUUGUGACAGCUCUACAAUUCAUGUAACCAAUGAUAAUGUUCAAUUCACAAGAAAAAUCCUUUAUGUGGGCCAUUACACAAUGCACGUAUGAAUAUGUAACGAGUUGUACAAGAGAAUAAGUUUUAUGCUUUAACACAAUAAGGACGGAGCCAGAUUGCAUUGUGCUGUAAUUACAUGGCUUCUCUUAUUCUGAGCGCGAUGGUGGGAAGAAGUGGGAGAGUGUGCGAAUCGCAAAGGCCUGUGCUUUUUUUUUUUUAUUAUUCGAAUUUCUCAAGCUAUUGAAAAGCCUUUACAACAGUAACCCUUGCAGAACUAACAAUGUGGAUUGUGCCCUCAUUUAUACAGUAUUAAAUGUCUGCACAGACGACCACAUAUUUGCUUUGUGUCGGGGAGGAGUGGGUGGUGGAAUAAAAAGAGACACAUAAGGGCAGAAGGGAAUUAAAGAGGUCUGAGGGUGAGGAGUAGGAAGGGAUUUUCAACAGACGCAUUCGGCUUUUAUGCAUAUCCCUACAAUUUUCUUCUUGGGUGCAAUAUAUCCAACUUAAGACAAAUGUUAACACUCACUAUGCCGAGUUAUCUUUAAUGUGUGAAUAUAAGAAAGCUACUUUUAAGACUUUCUUUUUCUUUCUGUACAACCCUAAAUCAAAAGACAGAGUUAGGAGUGUAAAGAGAACAAACUGCUAAUCUUACAUUUGAAGCCUGUAACAUGUUUCAAAACAGUUUGGACAGGGUCAUGUUUACCAUCAUGAUGCAUCACCUCUUCUUAGAUAUUGGUGAAACAAGUAGACCAGUUUCUCAAAUUGAAAAAGUGUAGUGAUGCAAAUUAUGUCUCUUUGUAGUGAGCCAGAUCAUUCGGCUCCCAAAUGGCUCUUCAUUUUACCACUUUUACAUUUUCUAAUUCAGCCAAAUUUAGCGUUGUUUGGCUUAUGAUAUGUACGUUUGUUUACAUAUCGCUUUAACAAUUCAAUACAUCCCUUGUACCGAAGUAUUCACAAGUAAAAAUUACGUUCUCUAAUAUCAGUAAAAUGCUACAGCCAUCAUGAGCGCACAAGCACAUGGCGCCCCCCUCUGCUUGGUUGCACAUAGCAUGUACGUGACAGUCAUGCACUGCACGCAUUGAGCACCUGUCAUCCUGUCAUUCUCCCAUCGUUCACGUAAAAGAGCCGGCUCUUUGAACCAGUUCUGACACAUCACUGUGAAAGUGAAAUCUUUUCCUUAUUCUUUCCUGAUGUAGAGGACAGUUUGGGGUCUUCUUUGUCGUGAUGCUCCAAGUGUUUUCAGUGGUUGAUGAACCAGGACUGCAGGCAGGCCAGGCUAGCAUAUACACUCUUCCACUAUGGAGCCAUGCUGGUGUAAUCCAAGGUUUGGUAUGGUCUUUCUGAAGUAUGCAAGAGCACUAGCCCCUGAUUUCAAGGGCGCCAUCUAGUGACAACAUUUGACAGCGAGAAAACUCCUGAAUUGGAUGAAGUGAGCCACUACCACAUUUGUUGGUUUGUUGACAGCACAGGCGUAAAUACAACUCUAUUUCUGCAGUUGUUAUAGGGAAAUCAGACAACUCUGCGCAUGUACAAAAGCUUCUAAUCUGAAUAUAGCUUGGUUCAUGUAUACUCACAUCAUGAUUGGACUAUUCAAUUUUGAGCCCAUAUAAACAGCAGAUUCAGAUUAUCCGAUCCCUCAAAUUGUUAAUCGGCAUGGCUAAACAUGGCUACUGUCAUUAAAAAAACAAUAGGGAUGAACAGGUUGUGAAAAUCAAGAGUGAUACUGAUGUUCAAAAUAACAAUAAAGACGAUCCUGAUCCUGAUUUUGGGGGUUUUCCAAUAUAACUGUGAUGUAACCUGCACACACACCUUGUGCUGAAAAAAGCUCAUGGCUGGGACUGAGAAAAGCAAUUUGGUUUGUUCUUUCCAUAUUUCUGUUGUUGAAGCAAAAUCAUAAAAUGGGAAAUUUGCACUCCAUCUGCAAAACAAUUUUUGGUAAUUGACAGUUUUAUAAGAGAGAGCGAAUUCAAUCAGAACACUGCAAUCUUCAAAGUAUGUCUGCGCCGCUGGUGAAGACAGAAACUGUGUCAUGAGGAGGAAAUUGAAUCCGAUGAAAAUAUACUGAGGCCCCUUUUUUUAUGUUAAAAGUUGGAUGAAUUGCACAUUUUAAACAGAAAGUUUGCAAGUCAGAGAUUAUUCUGCGGAAAUUAGACCUAUAAGACUCUGUGCAACAUUAAUUUGCGAUUUGGACCUGUAAUUAUCACACCUGAGGGAAAUAUGUCGAGGCAGCUGAUUGCAGAUGAGCGAACAGCAAUAUUAUUUUGCAGUAACCACAGAAUUGGGAGUUUGUGGACAAAGCCAUGAGUCAUGAAGACACUCACUUCACCAAGUUAUCUCAGUGUUGUGUUUUCAUAAUCUUACAGCCUUAUUUUCCAUCAUGAGAAAGAAUGAGUUCUUUUUUUUACAGUAUAAACGGAUCAUAUAAUGUAUGAAAACAAUCAUAUACUAUAUGAAGCCAAAACUUGUAGAGCUCCUCCUGGUGACUGACUGCAGUAUAGGUUUUGAAGCCUGCCUCCUCCAUAAUAAUAGAUUAGACAUUUUAUUCAAUUAUUGACCUUCAUUCAGCCAGGUUUGUCUUGUUAAGAUCAGAUAUAACUAAACUGCCUCACUGAUACGAUUGAACAAAAUAAAGUCCAGACUUCUUGUGAUGCCCCUAAAGGGUCAUGCUGCUGUGGGAGGUGUCUCUGGUUGGCUUCUCUCUGCACCCUGAUCAGAGCAACUAUGCACACCUGGGCCCUGGGUGCUGGGAGUAUUUAAGCCCUCACAGUUACCUGCAAUUCCCUCUUUUGUUUCUUCUGACUGCCUUUACAGGUACUUGGUUUGGUUUGGUUGGUUUGGCCUGGGUUGGCUUGUCUUGGCUUGUCUUUACUUUGAUUUUGUUUGGCUUGUAUUGGCUUAUCUUGACUUAGUUUGGUUUGGCUUGGCUUUUUUUGGUUUGUCUUUGGUUGGUUUGGCUUGGUUUAGUUGUAGUUUAUGUUUGCUCUUUACUCAUACACCUACUUUCACCCAUGCAAGCCUUACACAAUACUGAUUUUUACUGAUUUACACACCUCAUAUCUUGAAUAUUCUAAUUCGGUUCAAUUUGAAUUAAUAAAGACUUGUUCGGGAGUUUAUACAUGGUGCGUGACUUCCUUCUUCUUUUUGUUGUGACCACCUUAGCUAGGUCGUGACAAGCAGGGGCUCGUCCAAGAUUUAAAAGCAUUCAGACUCCUCUUUGAGGAGAAAGGGGCAAAAUAACUCAUCUUUCUUUACCAACUUAGUUUGUAUUUUUGGAAAGAAACUGCAAACAGAGGUCCUUCCAGGUGAAAAGAGAGGAAAGGUAGGAAUGGCUUUAUUAAUAAAGAUGACUGAUCUGACUUGUACUCAACAGUCUAACUGACUUUGGAAUAAUAAUUACAACGGUGAGUCAAAGAGGCACAGUUUGUACCAAAUCUCAAUGCACCUUGAUGCACUCGGCUUACAACACAAUCAUCUCUGAUUACACACUGAUGAGACCACUGGAGCAGAUGUCCAGUGAAAUUAGUCCUUCAAUAUAACAGCUCGACACUCUUUGUCUGUCUGCCCUAAAACUGUCUUCAUUGUCUUUCUUCUCUGGAAUUAAAUCAAUGAAAUACAGCCCCUCUCCUCCUUCAGGCCUCCUGACACACUCGUCCAUCACAGCAAACCGAAGCUUUGACCCGUCCUAACAAUGAACCUGUUAGCAGUCCACAGAGCCUGUCUUGAGUCAUUUCUUACAACAAGGCUGGUCUAAAUCACCUACAAUUGACCUUAGCUGCUGUCCUGUGGGGACCGUGUGUCAUAUACUCUCCAGUAUUUAUCAGCUAAGGGUCUUUAAGGAGGAUGGAGCAAAAAGGAAGGAAACACCGGUAUUUCUUGACUGCCAAGCUAAGUGUCCCCGUUUGACCCCACUGUACUGUCAUUCAUCAGUGCAUAAAUUGUGUUGAAACUGAAGAAACUUCCAUAUUUUGAUUGUUAAUGUAAAAUAUUCCCAAUAAAUUUUUUUGUGAUCAAGUUUUUAUUUAAUUUAACUGAGAAAUGUAGAAAGGUACAAGUCAAUAUUACAGCAAUCAAUAAGAUAUAUAUUCACAUAUACCCGUACCUAUAAAUGUAUAUUGUAAGGUUCGACCGAUUUAUUGGCGAGCCGAUUAAAUCAGCCAAUUUUAGCCCGUAUGAGACUAACUGGCCAAAACUUGCUGAUUGUUGCUGAUAUUUUCAGAAAUAAAAUGCGGAGAGUAAGAUUUGGUUUCACUUCGAAAAUGUUCCGCCAUUUUAAAAGAUUUCCUUAUCCUUACUUAUCCUGUAGAUAAGUCGGGGGAUCUUUUUUGAGUUUGUCAGAGUUUCAUGAUAAAUACGUGGAAUAUUACUGAGAUUAAUAUUAUUGAGAAGUGUUUGAAAGGCUCAAAAGCAACCGUUUGUUAAAAAGAUAGUAAAUAUGUACAUAUAUUACUUAAAUUAACAAAAAAUUGGCAAAUUAAUCAGUAAUGUAUGAUAUGAUAAGUGUAUAAAUAGAAGUAAGUAAAAAUAAUGAUAAAAACAAACGUACAAUAGGUUAAAUAAUAAUAAAUUACAUGUACAUAGUCCCAAUAAAUUAAAUGUAUUAUGUUAGACUCUAUUUAAGCAUAAACAGGACAAAAUAAGCAAGAAAAAGCUUUGAACAUAGGGGGCGCAAAAGCUGGCACAAAGCAAAAGUUCCUCACUGUAGCUUUAAGUAUAAGAAAACUACCAAAGUUGUGCAGAAACACACACAAGGAUUUACGAAAUCCACAGGUUUGCAAAUGUAUUCAAAUAAAUUCAUUCUUCAAAGGUUAGUGAUGAACUCAGUGGGAAGAUCUGAAAAAAAUAAUGUCAUAUAGAGAACACAAGACUGGAGCAUUGUUACAAAAUGAAGCAGUCCUUAAAAAUUGAUCUGAAAUGUUUGGCGCUCAAAGUUUUCCAUGGAGAACCCAGAACCUUUCUGGAUGUGCAAACAGAUCAUUUAAACACACAAACCAAUAUGGAUUUGCUAAAAACAAAGAAAUGUUUAAAUAAACUCGGAUGCACUAACAUGUAUACUGUACAUAUGUAUUUCUUGAAGGUCAAAAACAACCCCCCCCCACCACCACCACCACCACCACCACUACCACAGCAAGUAUCUUGUCACUCUGACACAUAUGGAAAUUUCCUGCUGCUUCAGCUCAAAGUAAGACACUCUGGUUACAUCUUCGUAGCACAUAUGGUCUAUAAAAUCCAUCAUGCUUGCACCCUCCCUGCAAACAUUAUCCCCCAUCCUCAGGCCUCCAAACUCCCAUCGGAUCUGGACUUGGCUGAGUGUGCUCUAAAGCUGGGACUGCGACAUAAGUACAAAAUCCAGUAACAUACAAUUUACAAAAUAAAAGCAUAAAGUGUCCUCGGGUUCUGUCGGGAUGAUUUCAUUUUGUGUAAAAUGAGGGGCAACUGCAGCUUUUGUAAAACUAUAAAGAACAAAAACAGAGUUUCAAAGUCCAGGGACAAAUAAAAAGCACUCCUUGUACCAUCUUCUCUGUGCUUGACCCGCCAUGACAAGGGUCAAUGGAAAAGAUUGUUUUGUGCUUGAGAGAGGGGAAAAUAAAAACAGAGUGCUAGCAGUGUGGAGUACAGGGAUGAGUCCCAACUGAGUGGUUGGAGUGGAAGGCCAGAGGUUAGAGCUGGGCCUCAAGAUGAAAUUGGGACUGGAGGAGAAACCUGCAAGGGUGUAGAGGUUUGCUGAGUAAAAAAGGGGGCUGAUCCGAAACCUUGAUGUGAGGAGUUGAGAUGUGCAAAAGUGCAGGACCUCGAUGUGGGAGCCGGGAUGCAGAAUUGAUACUGGAUCUGAGCCAGGAGCUGCAGAGAUUGAGUGCUGGGGGAGAGGACUUGAAAUGAGCUGUCAGGACUGUCAGGGUGCCUUCAAGUUGGAACAGUAACUUCUUUUGUCUGAUCCUCAGCUCGAUUACUAAUAAAGCAACACGAUGUGCAUUCAAAGUUCAGUGUUUGAGAGUUAGUUUUCAUGAUUUGAAAACCACUGACGCGGUUUUUUGAUCGUCCCUCUACGCGGUUAACUCCUGCACAGUUUCUUCGAAAGCCUCUGUGUGAGUUUAAGGGUGAAGAAAAGGUUAUCGAGUGUAAAAAUAGUGCAAGACAAGCGCAGUGGAAGUAUCAGGGGGUCUUAUUUUUGAGCUUUUCAUGUCAAAGAUUGUGAGAAUAUCCAGUUAGAGCUGCAAAAGAUAUUUGAUCUAAUAGUUUCGUCAUUUGAACCUGAUGAAUUCUCAGGAGGUUCAACACUUAAAGAAAUCCCGCUCACAUUAAACCACAAGCUCCUAUUUUCAUUUUCAGUUUAAGGCUACCCAAAGUUUCCAGAUUUACAUAAUAAAUAAUAAAUCGGCACCCAGCUUUUUAAACCCACAAUAACAAAAACCAAUUAAAAUUAUCUUCACCUUUUAAUCACUUUAGGAAAGGGACGCCGCUGUUUCUGUGCAUUAACAUCAAACGGAUAAUAUAAGUCUUAAGACUCGGCGCACACCAGAGGAUUUUAUUCGUCUUAUCUGAUUUCGAAAAACGUCAGAGACCCCACACAUGACGAGGACCGAUGACAGAUUACACGGCUUUAUUCCUGUAGUGUGUGGUGUGUAACGAUGUGGUGUGUAACGAUGUGGUGAACAGACCACACACAUACAACUUUAUUUUUUUAACAGCAGACGUCAGACUUUCAAAACUGAAAAUCUUGUGAAGUCAAACUUUAUUUUCAAGCAAACGAACAUGGCGGAAUGGCUGCUUAGUUUUCCGAUACAAUCCUGAUAUUCUCAUGUUUUUAACUCGUUCUGUACAACUGAAUUUCCCUUAUAGGAUUAGUCUCUGAACUGAAUGUGUUGCUAGUCAGUUAUUUCUUAUUUAAUAGUUAUUAAUUGUCCUCACAUCUGCAGUCAGAACACUGGAGAACACACUUUUAAGAUGUCAAAACUGUUUUGAGACACAGCUUUGUCAGAAAUGCGAUUAAUCGCGAUUAAUUGUUGAAACUGCGAUUAAUCGUGAUAUAUAUAUAUUUUUUGACAGCUCAAAUUAAGAUUAAAGAUCAGGUAGAAUUUUGUCAACAGCUUCAAUGGUGAUAAAAAGCUGCUUUAACUAAGUGAAGAGUCAGGUCAGGGGCAUAUAGACGGUGAUUAAUCAGUAUUUGAUUUCUUUCAUGCUGUUUUUCCUGCUAUUGAAAUUGAUGCAAAUUUUCUGACAGGCCUUCUAGUAAAUAUGAUGAUUAUUCCUUUUAAAUAAAAGAAAAGGUGUUUUACCAAGAGCAUAUUUUGAACCUUAUGAAAUUCAAGUUUUUCUUCUCCAAACAACCUCAUUACGUGUCAAGCUCCAACAUUUUUAAUCACAUUUUCAGACCUGCCGUUUCAACACAUGUUGCUCCCUUAUUCAAUCAUUUUCAAAAAGGAUGAGAUUAUUUUUAUUCAGAAUUAAAUCACCUUGAAUUUUUUGGUAAACAUUACCCAGCACAUCUAGCGUUAUUUGUGGAUCAGCAGGUGUGUUCCUGCUGCUCUGUCUCAAAAUUUGCAGAAAUUCGUGUAACACUGGAAACUCACGGAGCACAGCCCAACACAGCAGGCGUCUGAGUCACCUGUCAAGAAACAGGAGAAUGAGACGGCUUCCUUUGAAUUACUCAAAAAGACAGAUGGAAACACAGACGCUGAUGAGAACAGUUCUAUGGUAGAUAGCGCUGUCACACACUGAGUCACAUGUUGAAAUGAAACACCUGGAAAAGCUCAUGAAAUGAAGUGAUCGAUAUACAACAUGCUAACGGAGGAACAGGCACGUAAGCAGACGGGUCAAAACGCACACACAGAGUCUUUCAAAUGUUCGCACACACACAAAUGUGCUCUGCAAAGAUAUACAACCCUGUCACUGGUUUUGAUACAGCUUUGCCAGUAAGAAUAAUGACUGGGCUUAGACAGUUUUCCUGGAAUCCAUAGUUAUCUAUACACCCGGCUCAUCUCCUCGGCUUCAUGCACAGUUCAUCCGUCUUCUGUGCUGGAAGAUUUCAGCAGGAUUUCCGCCACAGAGUGUAAUAAUGUCGACAAAAGGAAAAAAGACACAUUGGCUCCUCUGCUUGUGUAUGAUAUCCCACUUUUUUUCAGCUAUAGGUGAACUGGGAAAAAGAAAAAAAAAAACAAAGUUUCCUGCAAAUAAAAGGUUCAAAAGCAGCCUGUCCUGGUUAGUGUCAUGACAGCGCUUCUGCAAAACCAGAUUAGUAAUUAGAAGCUUACAGUUAAAAAAACAAAAAAAACAAUAAAAGAGUCUGUAUUUUCAAAUGUGUUCCAGUCUCUGCUCACUUUUCCAAGUCUGGAUGCAGCUCCGAGUGUCCAUAAAUCAAGUGGGACUUUGUUGAAACUGGUAGAGCGUGGUUUCUGGUGCUUCUGCAGCCAGCUUCAAGUAGACAUUCAGAAAACUGCAGUUUCUUUGCACUUCCAAAUCAGCUUCAUUUCUCCGGACUGGAGGUUGCCACUUGGUUCCCUUCCACUGUCCUGAAGGGCUUCGUUUCUACGAAUGGAGCAUCAUAUUCAGCAUGCAUCACAGGAGCUUCUGGCAGGGUGAGCAAGGAAACAUUUUGAGAUAUUGCAAAAUACUUCCAUUUCUACACACUGUACUUGUAAUAACAUGACAGAUUCUCUAAACUGGGACCAACUUGAUAGGUAACAAACCAAACUCUACCUCCAUCAGGCAUGUAUUAAACCCACUCCAGUGUGAAUUUUUCAAAAGUAUCUAUUGUUGAAUUCACUUCAUUUUGACAUGAUCAGAAAAGUAUCGGCUCUGAGAGAUUUCUAAUGAAUAAUGUACAGCGCCAAAUUAACAAGUACAUCCUUUGGGAAACUUAUGAGCUCAAUGUUUGUUGGAGCAUCAAAUCACAGCCUGGAGUGACCCUGCAGACGGCAUGUCAUGUAUGAUUUUUAGGAUUACAGCUGACUGUAAUUCAAGAGGAAGACGAAACUAUCAGAGCUUUUGUUGAUCUGACUGAGCUGCGAGUUAUCUGUCAUAUCCUUUUUAUAUUUGUGUAAAGUAGAUGUAUUGGUCAUUGUCUUUCAUCUGGUGUGCUCUUAAGAUUAAGCACAUCAUGAACUGAGAUGAUAGAGAUCUUUCUUGUUUCAGAGAUUUCUGGCUCAGUUGAUUUCUGCAGUGUGAAAUAGAUCCAAGUGCAACUUUCCCAGGAUUGAUGCUCGAUGGCAAGCAGAGCCACAGAUGAACUAAGAGAAAAUAAAGCCAGCAGAGCAGCUUUAGGGCAUGUAACACGCAGCAGAGACUGGGUUUCUUCCUCAGUGGUUACUUUAAUGACAGCAAGAAACUCAAUCUGGAGCAGGAAAUAAAACACAGGAAUGGGCCUCGGCAGGAAUCUGCUGCUGAAUCCAGCAGCUGUACUCCCUGUUGAGACAUAACUCAACUCCUCUGUUGAGAAAUAUGAAGUCCACAGGUGAAACAAGAUCAAAACAGUGCUCCUAGUGUGCAGCAAAGCUCACUAUUCCUGUGCGCCUUCUUUGAAAUCCUGCUGCAAUGUGGGAAAAUAGCGAAUUUACAAAAAGUACAGCCCUAGAUUUUUUAUUGGUGUCAUUGUUGUGAUUAAGAAGCAUGAAAAAAAAAAUUUUACAGGCUGACUGUGAGCUAUGAGGAGGAAGCAGUUCAAAGAAAAGAAAGGUAACAUGAAAAUAAAACUCAUUUACAAGAGCAGAGCAGGAACAGACUGAGAGCUACUGAGGCAUUCCUUAAGAAAAGUUUAUUUAUUCAUCACUUUUUAAUUUGAAGACGACAGAGGAUGGAAAAUGAAAGUGGGGGAAGACGGCGAGAUAUGACAUGGUGUAAAAGGCCAAAGGUCAGAAUCGAGCCAUCUGCCUGGAGGGCUGAAGAGGGGACACAUGACUGAAGAACAAGCUAAGCUAACACAGAUGGCUAAUAUUUUACCCAAAUAGCAAAAAGCUAACAUCAGGGUGAAGCUGAAUAUGGAGUCAAGACAUCAGUGACACCGAUAAGACCAGACACAGCACAGAGUCAGGUGGAGCAGGGGUGGAGGUGAGCUGCAGAGCAGUUGCAGUAGAGGACAAUCAGCUGAGCCGUUAGCUCGUUACUAGAGUUGGUAUAACUAGAGAAGCAAGCGGUCUGCAACAGCCAUCUAACUCGAUGUUACGCUGUGUUUUUCAGUGUAAGUCAUAUUUUUGUGUAUUUUUUUUAUUCUAUGUUAAAUUCAACAGGAACAGUUCUCGACCAGGAUCCUGGACUGUUGGUGAAACUUGAGUUGAAAUCCUGCACCCUUUCGGCCUUUAACAAAAUAAUAAAUUACGGUCCUAACAAGGCGGACUGGCAGGCUCACACUGGGUGACUCCUUGAAGGGCUCGGUGUCAGCUUUUGGCAAGAGGCCUCUGACACAGCAGGUGGUCUGGAGUUUUCCAGACAGGUCCUGUGUCUCUGAGGAAGGUUUUUGAACAGGUGGUAGCCUGGGUGCAAGGUUUAUGACAAUCCUCGGCGCCAGUUUCUUUUCUGCCCGUGGCAUUAGAGUCAUCAGUGAUCGUCUGCUGACAGCUUCUGACCUGCUCAGCCGUGCAGACGUCUCUGUGCAGUUCGACGGCGGGGCCAGAGGUGGCCUGCUGAUUGAUAGGUCUGGAGGGCAUCUGAGCGCUUCAACUAAUUAUGAUUAAUGCCUCGGUGUCUGCUGGAUCACAAACUGCAGAUGCGUGAAAUUAACUUUAAUUACUCGGUUUGUACAGUUCAGUUGUUUUUGUUUUGUUUUGCUCUGAUAGAACAGAGACCGAGCUUCUGUGUGGAUGAGCUGAAUACGUCAACCAUCGCAGGCUCAGGGUGUGCAUUUAGAUGGGCUAUAUGUAAAUGAUCUAUGGAUCUGGAGCUUAUUCAGACGCUGCAUAUUUUAGAUGUAUAUGGUAAAUAUUUCAUCUCACAGACGGCUUGGUUUUACUUCACUUUGACAUUUCACCUCUCUGUGCAGAAUCGUGUGUUCAGAGGAUCAGACAAAGACUUUCCACACUCUUUUCAAACUCCACAAACUUAAACUAAAAAAAUAAUAAAAAAUCAUCAUCCUACAGACUUUCUAAUAGUUAACUGAUAAUGCUUGUGUAUAAACACAUACUUGCAUGUGAACAUAAAGUGUGAUGGGCAAAAAUCUGUCAAUAUCAUAAGCUAAGUUAACUUCAAAAACCACAAAAUAUUUUAAAAGGUCCUAUAAGAAGUUUUUGGAUGUGAAUUGAACAGACUGAAUUAAAGGCGGGGUAGGCAGGAUCUGAGUUAGUGCCAGUUUUUGGAGAGGAAUCUUGAAUGUAAACUCUACCCCUCCCAACCACUUUUCUCCUCAGCUCCUCAUCUCCCCUCCCUCUCUGCCCCAGAAAGCCCCGCCCACAAACAGACGCUCCUGCUCGCUCUUAUCGUUCCAAUUAAAUUCAGAUAUAAUGCAGAUAAAUACUUCAGAUAAUUACAAAUGGGGCCCAGUCAAUGUGAAGUAAAGAGCAUUUACUUUCUUGCGCCUGUUACUUGCGCACAGGCGCAAGAGGGUGUAGGUGUCAGCUUAGUAGCUUAAGAGAAAGCACUGUUUUUAUAUUAACACAUAAAUUAUUCACAGUAAAUUAUUCAUUUGAUCAGAAGUCAGACAUGAACUAUCGUACAAGAAGUCUAUUUGAUUUUUUAUUAUUAUUUUUUAUUUGAUUUAGAGUAAAGGCUGAUCCAUGUCCCAUCUGUUUACAUGGAGGAGGCAGGCUACAAGACCUAUGUCAGCAGGGAGUCAUUGAAGCGUUUGGCCUCACUUUUGGGGCUGUCCUGUCAUCCAUCAUUUAUUGUUUCAUAUUGUGUUAUCUCUCAUUAAAGAAAUAAAGGUGGGAAAAAAAAAUGUUAUUCUAGCUGAUGUGAGAAAGAAAAACAGCCAGUUUUUGUGAAGGUUUGUGCGUUUUUUCCUUCAGUGCUUGAAGCGAAAAAAUGAUCCAAAAAUUAAGGUUUUAUUUUCUGUGUCUUUUUCCAGCAGUGCUCUCAGCUUCUCACAAUCAGUGCUGCUCUCUUGCAAUCAAGCUCAACAAUCAAAGUUGGCCAGACCUCUUCGGCUCAAAUAUUCGCUGACAAACUGGCACUAACUCCCACUCAUUACGCUUUUAAAUUUUUUUCCGACGUAAACUUGUCAUCUUGCCUCUUCAAGUUCCUAGAAUAUAAACAGUUUUAACUAAAUCUGUCUGCAGGCUGCAGGUUUUAAAUGCAGGCUCACAUCUAACCACCAUCUCCCACCUUCAAGUUCAAAUGUUUGUUGUGCAGUUGGAAAUUGUAUGCUUUUAACUGGCUGUAAAAGCCUUUUCUUACGGUUGUCUACCUACUAAACAGCCCUUAUCUUAUAGAUGGCCUCCCCCGGUGUGAACAUGAUAAAUACUCUUUUAAAGCCACAUUAAACCGCCUCAUUUCAUGCUGGCUUGCUUAAAGUUGCAUAGAUCACACUUAAUGGAGUCAUAAGAUCGCAUACAAUAUUCAUGAGCUCUUCUCACAUUCAGCCAGCUUUAUAAAAAUACACUGAGCAAACUUUAAACUACCUGCUUUUCUCGCUUUCGCUUUUGAGUCCCCCUCCUUUGUGAUCUUUUUUUGGAGCGAUCGUCGACUCGCUUUCGGUUUCUGCUUGGGAAAAAAAAUGUCCACAACUGCAAAGAGGGCUCUAAAUAAAGCAGAUGUGAGGAGAGCAUAAAAAAUCAAGAUAACAGCUUUUUUAUGACAACAAAAGAUUUUUAGAAACAAAGAUAAAAGAAGAAAGACAUUUGAACCAAUAAAUGUAAUAUUCAACAACCAGAAUGCACAUAAGAGUGGAUGAGUUUUGAGGUUUGUGCUCUUAUGACAUUGUUUAUCACAAUGUUUAUCACUACUGACAACAGCUUUUCUACUUUUAUUUCCAUUUAAAUUUGCAUUUUUCUGAACAGUGACAUUAAAUUAACAUUAACACUUCCUCUAACUCUGUCAUAGUGCACCAAUUCAGCCCUUUAUGUGUGUGCUACCAGUGCCAUAAUAAUAUAGAGGCAGACCACAGACUGUUGAAAUGUAUGUCACAAAUGCUCAAUGGCUUUGGAGCUCCCCCUACUGACUUAAACCCCGCCCCUCUCAUGUUAACUGAUGGAACAUAGGUCAAACUGUAAAAGUGGAAUAAAUACUUUGCUAACAUGGUUUCUGUCAUCAUAGUUAGUUCUUAUCCUGCAGAUUUAUUUUAUUUAAAAUUGGGGGCCUUCCAGUUAUCUGUGCCAGAUUAGCAGAGUAGAGGAGAAAACCUGACAAACACUGAUAGAGGAGUCACUGAACUUUUAAUAUCUUUAAGCUUCUACUUCAAAUCAGGGCUGUCAUGGAUGGUAACCAUUGUUUCAAAAAUAAAAUAUUAAUAUUCUGCUAAAAAUAAACAUACCACAUCACUGUGAGUUACGGAGACUGGAAGGUGACAUUAUUUUUUUUUGUUUGUUUGUUUGCACAUGUGAUUUAGUAUCUCACUCAUGCGUUUUAUUAUAUCGUUGAUACGUUGAUAAACCAAAUCACUUCCUGUAAGUCCGAAUAUCGCCGAUGGCAAAGUCGCUGUGCUUUGAGGAUCCUGAUGAGCUGUCUCCUACUCUAAACAAUUCAAAAAUCUAUAAAGCUUCUCUUUGUGGGUCAUACCUAAAUGAAAGAAAAUGUUGAUAUAUGCUCUCUGUCCAUGACUCUGUCCUAUUUACAAAAAUGCAUGCACAAGAAAUAAAUAAAAUGCACGUUUGAGAUACUUAAUUGCACGUGUGAAUUUAAAAAAAUUAAAAGUUCACAUCACCUCCCGGGCUCUGUAGUGAGUUCAUAGUAGUGGCUCAAGUUUGUCAGUGGUGGGUAGAUGAAGAAGAAGUAACAGACUGCUAGUGAGCUCACUUUAUCAUCACUUUUACAAACUAACAAUUCAAGAUUGAUUGUGAAUCUUAAAACAUCAAAGCUUUUAUCUAUUUAGGUUACCAAUUACCUUCUAUUACUUACCAAUAACUUACAAUCUACCAGAAGUAGUUACUUCAAAAUAAAAGCAUAGUUUGACCUUGUAGGAAAUAAUAAAAUAGGGUGUGACCUCAGCCCUGAAACUUUAACAGCCAGGUCACUUGUGUUUAUUUGUCUUCUAGUUAGUUUCCAUCUACGUAUAGAAUAAAACAGUGUCUAGAUCAGCAAUACUAAUAACUAAAGAUUAAAAUAGCACUAUUUUAUGACUUACAGGAACAGUAUAUUUAUGAAUCACUAUCAUCUUAUUAUCAUCUCUAUCCUGAGCUGAGCUACCUUCUAAAAUCCUCCUCUGUACCUCCUCUUGUUUUGAGCUGUCUUUUCUGGCUGAUUUUCUCCAGAGGUUAAAUUCCAGGUGCAGUCCAGGAGCUGGCAGCAUAAUGAGCUGCUGCUUUUGUAAAUCAAGGCUGAGUACACACAGAUUGCAGCCAUAAGCUCAAUGAAAGUUGCACAUUUGCAUGACACCCCUUUUUCCCUGCAAAUACGGCCCUCAGAGUAUUUGUCUUUAGUGAGAAUUCUUUGUUUUUCUUUCCUUUUCUUUCUUGAGGCUGAAAUGGAAAUCAUUAACGACAGCUUGCAUUUGCAUUUUGCAUGCAAAAUUAGGAGGUGCAAUAGCUACUCGGUGUGAGAAAACCAUUAGAUUUCACUUACAUCCAGAGAAAAUCCCUGGAGGGGGGUUGGAUUCUCAAAUUACAUUUGGUCCCCAGGUAGUUUUGUCCAUUGCUAAUAGGACACUUGCUAUGUAGCCUCAGAGUUUUCCUGUGCUAAUGCUUGUCAAAAUGACCCAUAAGGAGACUGUUUUUUUUCUGCAUAAGGGAGAUAACUCCAGAAUUAAGGCAAUGCAUAUAAGAGAUAGCAAACCUUUUUAUUUCUGCUCAUGCAUAAUGGCUCUGCAUGUUUUAAACCUGAAUUUAAAUAAAAUGGUUAUGCUGUGAAAUAAAGCCAAUUCAAAUGCCCAAGAUGCAUGUUAACGUCAGGGUAAGAAUCUACUUUCUUUCUGUUUGAUAUGACUGACUGUAAACCUGACUGCAGUCAUUAUAUAUCACAGUUAGUCCCAUCACGACUUUGCAUGCUCUCCACAUUUCACACCAUGGUAUAUUUCAGGCCGCAGACUCUCUAUUCUGUGUUGCAUGGCUUUCCAUAAACAUACCUCAGGAUGUGAUGGUGCUUUGCUUUAUGGGUGGAAUGGUGCAUUGUGGGUAGAUGUGAGCCUUGUUUACUAUUGUGCUUGAUGUGCUCACAGCAAAACCCCUUGGAAAAGCAGCAGCAGUAACAAAAGUCAUUUCCAGUGAUGAAGAACGCUCUCUCGGUUAAUGUUUUGGAAUAAAUGCUCUGAGGCGACCGCGUGGACCGUUUAUGGAGUUUAUCUUUGGUUUUAUGGACGGUUAGCAGAGUUGAAGGCCUUUUCUUGGAGAGUUUUUGUUGUGCUACAUCAGGUGAAGUUAGUGUCGGCCAUCUGGGCCGUAGAGCACACUCAAAACACACUCUUAUUUUUUUGUGAAUUUUACCUUGGAGGAACAGUUUCGUGUGCUUCAUCUGUGUCCCAAUGAAGGGUUCAAGAGCUUUUCUUAGAUGAGCUCUUUUAGGUCGAAUAAAAUCAAAAUGUAUUUUCUGUACUCUGGCCAAAUUUAGUUUAAAAAAAAACAAACACGUUUGCUAUCUGCGAAAGAGGAUUAGGGCCACGUGAAGCAAAAAAAUAAUUACAGGAAGGAGAAUGAAUUCAAAAUUUCAAGAUGAAAGUCGAAAUUUCGAGAUUAAAGCUGAAAUUUCGAGACUAUAAGAAUCGCAAUUUGUCAAUAAAGUCAAAAUUUUGAGAUUAAAAAUUGAAAUUUCAGGAUUAAAGUCAAAAUUUUGAGAUAACAAAAUGCCGAAAUGUUGUGAAUUAUGUCAAAAUUUCAGGAUUGAAAAAAUUAAAAUUUUAAGAUUAAAGUCGAAAUUUCACGAUUAAAGUUAAAAUUUCGAGUAUAAAAAAAUCGCAAUUAUGGCAAUAAAGUAGAAAUUUCAAGAUUAACGAUUGGAAUUUAAAGAUUAAACUUAAAACUUUUGAGGUAAAAAAUGUUGCGGUGAUGUGAAUAAUGUCAAUUUUUUCGAGAUUGAAAAAGAUCUAAAUUUUGAGAGUCGAAAUUUCGAGAUUAAAAUUGACAUGAAUAUAGUCAAAAUUUUGACUUUUUAAAUUUUUGACUUCAAUCUCAAAAUUUAAAUUUAAAAAAUCCUUGCUGGGUGAAGCCUCCGUGAGAACAGCACCCUCUGGUGAUAGGCUGCAGUAUAGGUCUCCUCCAGCAAUCCCUAUGGAGUUGUGGACACACUUUAGAAAUUAAUCACACAGAAUAUAAAUUUCUCGUUCCUCUGGUUGCGAUGUUGACAUGUAGGUAUUGUAAGACUGGUUUGUGCUCAAGUCCUCUUUUUUCCCCAUUUUUUAAAGCUAAUAGGGGGUUUAAGUUUUCUAUUACCGACACUUGAUACAGCCUAUGGGCGUACGAAGAUUGCGUAGCUCACCCAGGGGAUAUGCUGUUUGAGCCGAGCGUCAUCACAGCGACUCUCCCACCAAUACAGUCUAUGAUUGGUACCUAAUGUAAAAUGUAAUAUGCAAACUAAUGAAUAUAAAAAUGUAAAAAUGUACAAAGAUAUGAUAAAGCUAACCUUGAUAUUGCACACAUUCAAACCAAAGGAAUUUAGAUAACAUUGUGACAAAUGUAGGAGAGGCAGCCUUCUCAGGGGGCGAACUUUCUUAGCAGAGCCUGAGGUUUAAAUAAUAAACAUCGAGGAUAUUUAGUUUGCAUGAGGCCGGAUGAGAAUUUCAGACACCCUACACACUGACAGGGUCAAAAACCUGACAUUUCCUUAACCUUUCCACCAACAAGUUUGCAAGUCAGAGCAAACUACUUUACCUUAUUUGACUUUCAGCACAUGCAAAUCAAUAUGAAACUUUCUCUCUGUAUAACUGUAUUUAUAGGUUUUUAUUUCUGCAUAGAACCAGAGUUAUAGACCCGAAAAUGCAGGCUCAGUCAGGCCAGAAUGCAGUGCAAGAGUUUAUAGGACUAUUUUGGUAUUUUUUGGAGUGAGGUUACAUGAGUCAGGUGUAUUUGGUACUGGUCAGCUCGGCUCAUUCAAAGGUAAACCAUUGGUAGAAGCAGGAAGUAGGGUAUGCUACAGUUUUCUGCAGAUGGGGUCAAGUCUGCAACCUAAAUAAGUACAUUUCAAGAGUCUCUGACCCAAGCAUUCAUCUCAGUUAAUGUGUUUGCUCUACUGAGAAAUUUUCCAGCACUUUGCCAUAAAGAAGCCCAUUUGUUUUUCCUCUGUUUGCUCUCUGAACAGACUCUAUUUGGGAAAACAUACUGCUAUAAAAACCGAUCAAAAUCAGUCUCUUAAUCUCUUGUAACCGCUGGUUGAUUGGUUUGCACUUGCAUGAAAUUACUGUCAAAAUCUUCAGUGCUUUUCCUAUUAUGCGCCUGAUUGCAAGUCAAACAAAUCAUAAUUGCACAUUUUAAUCUUUAAGUAGAUCUAUAAGUAGAUGUGCACACACACACAGUUUAUGUCAGUGGGUGUUUAAAAUGGAUUGAUUUGCAUGUGAUGUACAACCAAAAGAAACUAACCCAAACUGUGAAAAAGGCCAGGUGUAUUUUUAGAGUUAACAGAGAUUCAUAAAUAUAUCUGACCAAAAAUAAUGGUUUGGUUUUAUCCUCACAGGGCUAUCAGUGUCUAAGAGAUAAAUAAAACAUUUCAUACAUGAUGUUUGUGCUUUAACUGGACAUGACUUAUCGUACCGUCCUCUUCUCCUCGGUUUGCCCUUGUGUUUUCAGAGCACCAUCAUACAAGAUAAGAAAUGACCCCCAUAUAAAACAGAUAAAGUCUGAGUGUGGGCAGGCAGAUUAAUCAGGACACUCCUCAGGAGGCUGCGAUAAGCAUGAAAACAGUACAAACUCUCCUCUAACACGCACACAGUGAGCAAAUGCAGCUCGAAUAUUAUCAUAACCGUGCGGCAAAUCCUCUGAACAAAUCCAUUCAGCUCGCUCUUUGUCUGCCUUUUUUUUGCUGUUUUAUAAGCUUAUUAUAGUUGAUUAGGUCUUUAUUUAAUUUAACUAAGUCCCUUUGAGAAUUCAUGAAACAGAGCAAGAACAAAAGACCUGGUAGGAUUAAGUGCUCUUUAGUGUGAUUACAGUCCUGAUCUUUGGGGCUUACCCGUGCUAACAUUUGUCUUCAUGUACUGAGAGAACAGAGCAUUAGGUUUGUUACAGCUUCUUACUCACACUUUCAGCUUUUAAUGCAUAAAAAGUUUUAUAAGUUUCUUUCUUUUUACCUUUCAGGGUGAGAUAGGACACUGCAGUAGCCUCCAUGUGAAACCAUAUGGAUGUAUUGUAGCUAUGAAUGUAUAAAGACUGAAAAAAAAGCCACAAAAUCUGGCUGAUGGAAAUAAAGAGAUGCAUGAGAAAUGACAGCUUAGCUUGAAAAGCCAUUUUGGGCCAGGACUCACCCCCACCAGAUUAAGCUGUGCACUCGCCCCCAUUUAAAUGAGAGAAAGAGGAGAGAGAGAGAAACAGCAAGACAAAUGAUGUUAAUAUGCUCUUUGCAUAGAUGUGACUGUUGCAGCGCGGUGAUUUAAAGGCCUCACUGUCGUCCACCCUCCAUGUUUUGACUCUUGUGUUUUUUCUCCUAGUUUCUGUAGCUCUCUUAGUCAUCUGACUUUAAGGAACUGGUGAUUUCCACUCAGUCAGACCAAGUUAAAGCCUCUUCUUUUCACUUCCUCUUCUGUCUGAAAUAUUAUCACCAUUAUUUUUGGUACAGUACAUCUCCUGAAGUAGCAGAUGUUUACCUGCUUCAGUCCGGCUUACUUUGGUACCCCAUUAAACCUUGGAGGAAACUUGAACAGAGACUUGAUUGACUUCUCAAAACACAGGAGAUCCGGUUUAGAGUUUUGAUCCAGGACAUCUAUUUUCUGCAUCUGUUUGAAGAUAUUUCUUUGCAUAGUAAAAUAAACUGUUGUCAGAUAAUCCCCAGUAGAUUAGAGUUAAUAUGUCACUGCAGUCUGCUUUGGCUAAUCACACAGACUGUAUUUCCUGCACACUCCAAAGCCCGCUAAUAGGUGACUGGUCAGUACAACUCAAACAGCAAAGAGGAACUUGAACCUGUUGCAUGCUGACGGUCCAGACCCCCUGAGUGCAUGUUCAGUAUUUUUAAGUAGAAUCUGUAAAUUGAUGUUCGUUUUUCAUCAAAUUUGGCCGACCUGUCUGCACUGUCCACAUCACAUUUGACACAAUCACAGUUGUAUACCUGCAUUUAUAAUCUGUAUAAAUAAACAACAAAAGUGUCCCCCAUUCUUAGCAAACCGUGCCAUCACUCUUUGUGAUGUUUACCUCUGGACGUUAUGUGCUGAAUUAUUUCUCUAUUUCUGAGGUCAGAGUGACAGCUAUCACUGUAGAUGUUUGAUCAAAGAGGUUUAUGCAGUGAAACACCAGCUGACUGUCCAUGGCCGCAGUUACGAUUCAGUUGUGUCACUAAAAUGAACAAUGAAACAAGUUAAGUUUGAACUGAAGCUCUAUCUUUGUUUGGUUGCACCGUGCAGACUUGAGGUGACUCCACUUUGAUCAAGAGAAUCUCAUUUUUGAAUUCGAGAGUCUGACAGGACACGUGUCUCAUCUUUGGUUUUUAUAUCUGCCAGUAUCUGUCAGGGCUGGGCGACAUGGCCUCAAAUCAACAUCACGCUAUAUAGAGCAGUUCACCUUGAUAACGAUAAGUGGACGAUAACUACUUCACAAGCUGCUCACCCCCUCCCACAUUAACUUUGUCUACUUCAGCCGCCGCUCCAGCCGCUAAAACGUUUGAACCGUCCUCCAUCUCCUCACCUGUCUUUCCCUCUUUGUUAUGGACUGGAUGGGGUGGAGUCAUAUCUUAGACGUAGGACAGCGUCUUAAAGUUACCUAAGACCAUAGCCUACCGACACACAUCCAAAACCAACUUCUAUUUACUUAUUUUUUUACACCAAAUAUACUGAUAUGGGCAAAAUGACGGUUUUUGUUGUAAAUGUCGGUAUCUGUAAAUUUUUGGUUUAUUGCCCGGCCCUAAUCUGUCAGCAGGUUUGCUUAUUCCAAUCCACAGCACUUCACUUCUCUUCUUCUGAGGGGGGGCUUUUCAUCUUUGGAGCCUUCAGCUUCUUCAUCGUCCCUCCUCCUCCUCUUGGACUGACAGGCUGAAGCUGAACCAACAAGAGAGAGAGACAGAGAGAAGAAGAGUGUUUGAUUGUCCAUCCAACAAAUGCUGAUCAAAUAUUUCCCCAGACUGAUAAAUCUCCAAUAACUCUCUUCCUAAAUCUGGGGGUUUGAAGCAUCUUCAGAAACAUCCCACAUCUUCCAACAGUAGCAGGUUUUUGUCCAGAAACACAACUUUCACACACACAGGACAUGAAAUAAGAGGUAGGCUAUCACUUUUUCUGCAGGGGGCGCCAGUGUGACCACCAAUUUUAAACUGGGUGUCUAUUUCUCAAACUCUAAAUCUUUCUGCACAUCUGGUUCACUGUUUUGUGCAACUUCAGGUGAAAUAUUUUCCAGCAUAUUUUCGUUGUUACCAGCUUGGCUCUGUGGGAAAACUCAGCUUUCAUUUUCAGCUUUGUGCAUGGCUAUCCAAUUAUCCAAGAGAAAAACAGCUUUCGCUGCCUCAACAAUGGGACAUGGAGCCUGAUUCAGAAAGUCAGAAAACUAAAGUGUUCAGGGAGAAAGAAAACAACUGGCUCCUCACUCCCUGGAUUCUCAUUUAGUCUCACUCACGCACACACCUACACCUAGAGGAGUUUGGUUUGAUUCCUCUUAGGGAGUAAUUAGAAGCUGCUCUGGUCCAUCUGGGGGCCCCCUCACCGCUCUCCAUUACACAAACCCACUCAGCAGCGACAGCGCAGCACUCGAUUGUUGCUGAAUGAGUCACAGAAAUAUUUAAAGGGGGAACUCAGCGGUGUGAGAUCCCCAAAUAAAGGUCAUCUCAUACUUUAAGACAGCUCCAUCUUUCCCUGUCCUCAAAAAAGGUCAAACUCUCCCCAGGUCUCUGACACAGAGCUCAGCAAGCACACAUGGAUAAUAGACCGGAAAGGAAAAUAGUUGUGAUGCAGUUGAGGUCGAGUCCUGAUACACUUUAUUGUACACUGCAGGAGGAGGAGGAGGAGGAGGAGGAGGUCCAAAGAUGUGAUUAAAAAAUCUUGCCCUGGAGAAACUGGAGGUCAUUAAAGCUCCUCUACAGACACAUCCGUCUUCAUUUUCUGUCUUUUUCCUGAUGAUGAUGAAAAAUCUCUUUUUAUUUGGUCCUAUGGGAGAUGAAGCUGACCUAACCUUGUUAGCCAAUUGCAAUCUCAUGACCCACCAUAUCUGUCAAUGACAUCUCGGGCUUGAAGUAAUUACUGCUACAGUACAUGAAUGUAACUAGAGAGCGUACAAACAUAUAUCAACCACCAUCUGGGGCAGGUUUUUGUCGCAUAUUGGGCUGGGAGAUAUGGCCUAAGACCAAACCUUGAAUUAUUUCUUUUUUUAACGAACAAAGUUUAUGAUUUUAAUCAGUUUUUCCUUCAACUCAAAGAAAGUUCCUGGAUGGUUAGCUACCUCUAUGGUCAUCAGGGGAUUCAGCUGUUCGGAGGCAGACACAUUGCAGAGCCUAGUCGUUGUUGAUAAAACACAUUGUUAAACUUGUACUGCUGAAAAAAAUGACAUCCCUCACAGCUCUCGAACAUUCUUUUGAUACGUUCUAUAAGCAGCAACAGACUUGUCGAUUUUACAAGUUUAGUUUUAGCAGGUUGACCAUAUUCUGGGGGCGGGGUCACAAAGUCACACCAAGUCAAUUUAAUUGUCUUUUACGCGCUUCUUACUCAGUAAGUCUGCAUGUCACAAACUCGAAACUUCCGUACAAAACCACAGACAUUUGAAGGAUUUCAUAAACUUCUCCGGACAAGGCCGGACAGCCCGUUCAGCCCCCCAAACAAGAGGUUAAAGAGGACGUAUGGUCAUCCUAGUUUUAGUACAUGCUACCUGUUAGUGUUUAGGAGCGGUAGCACCAGCGGCACCUUUUUCCUCCUCAAGUACUUCGCAGUGGAGCUGAUUUGAAGAACAGUUCUUUGUAGAUGAUAUGUUUUUGUCCUCCAUGCACAACUGACAUUUAACCAUGGAGGUGUUUUGUUGUCAAUUUAUCCCAAAAUAAUAAUAAUAAUAAUAAAAAUAACAUCAGUAUGAAAUUAAUCUCACUUAAGCUUAACUGGACGCACCAAGCUGUAACCAGGUUUAGUACGUCGGUAAAACUGUUCUUGUAUCGGAGCUUUGAUUGGCACUCUUUGGCUUUUGGAGUCAGCCUCAAGUGGACACUGAAGGAACUGCAAUUUCUUGCUUUUCUGCAUGGUCUUCAUUUUUAAUAAUCUAAGCUGCCGUGGCCUUUUAACCCCGUACAAACCUUAUGGUUCAUGAAUGAAGAAAAAGACCGAACUUUGGGGAAAGUUAACACAUCUUUUGCUUAUUUGAAAGAACAUCGUCUUGAACUUUAAGCCUGAAAUCUUCUGUUUUGCAAAGUUUUGCAUAAAGCCAGUAAAAAAUCUAUUUACCCUACACCAAUAAAUAUUUUGUUUUUCUUAUUCCAAUCAUGUCUUUAGUUUUUUAAAUUUGAUUUGGCUUUAACAAGAGUAACUAACUUCUUCAUAACGGCCCUGAAUAGCUCUGCAGCCUGAGAUUUCUUCUUAUCUAACUUGCCAACACUGCAAACACUUGUGUCUCAUGGACCAAUUCCAGGUCAAAAAAUCUCAUAAAACUGAACAUAAGCCACCGUUAUCAGACAAAUCCAGGUUUUCAUCUUAUCUUGCAGUUUUAAAAGCCAUAAAAAGGAUUUGUUUUCAGUACCAAGUACCAAAUCUGUUUAAUAAGUUUCCAGAAACAAGAUGUGGUAUCGUCAUCAAGAGAUGAAAAUGGCUCACAUGGCAAUUACACCCGUCUCAUAUGAGAAAAACUAUGUCCUACUUACAAACACUGAAGUAUUAUCAAGAGCAGAUUCAUGUUUGGAGUUCAGAUCUUUUGUUUUGCUCAGAUAAAACUCGACGAGUUUCAGGCUAUACAUCCUCCCUAUCACCCCAUAAUUACUUCCCAUCCUCCAGAUAACUUCUUUGACCACUCUUAGCGUCUGUGGUAGAAGUAGAAAUUAAAUGUCUGCUCCUCAUUGACCUUCUCCUCUAGGGUCUUGUUUGUUUUCUUUAUCCUUAUGAAGCAGCCAGCAGCACAGAGAGAGAGAGAGAGAGAGGAAAUACUCGCUGCUCUGCUCUCCUCUCUGUCAGCUUCUGCUCACUGCUCUAGUCUGAGCUCGCAGAUCUCGCCUGCAGCUGUGGCUUUUAAACACAAUGUCGGUUUCUCUCCUCUGACCGGGGCCUUUCUUUACCUCGUUACGCUGGAACUGAAUUCGGUGUGAGAGCAUAAAAGAGGAUUUUUGAGACAAACAUGGGGGAACACAUCAGAGGGAAAGCCUUCGGUGUAAAUCUGAUACACUGACAGCGAUUCAUGCUGGUGUCCGGGGUCCUAUGGAGGAACUAUUAAAUAUGAAGGACAUGGUAUUAUAGAAGGUUAAACCUCAAAAUUAGCAGUGUUCUGGUUCUGGUUAAGUAUAAGGGCCUGUGUCCAUGAACAGCAUUUUUGUUCAGGUAGUGCACACAGCCUUAAUUUCAACAGAACUUACUGCUGUGACAGACCUUGAAAACGUACCCCCUAAAAAAUGUGGUUAGUUUCUACCCCAUAUUGACCUCCACUAUUGUGCUUGACAAUGUUGACACCAGAAGUCCCGCCCCUUUCUAAAUUUGAUUGGUUAGUGAAGUGGAAGUGACACUAAUGAGAUGGUAAAAAAUGUAAAACCAAUUUCAGCUGAGGAUGCAGCAACAAAUAAUGAUGCUGAGGCUGUUUUUGUGCCUAAAGGAAACAGAUACAAACAUAUUUUGUAGUUUUGAAUGUCGACACUAAACCUCGACAAAGUUUCAGAACAUGAGACACACAGAUCUUGGCUGAAUCCUCAGACAUGUUUUCUGGCUUCUCCAAACUUUGCCUUUCCUCUUGGCAGCUCAGUCAUAGACAUGCCCACCCGGAGGCUGGAAAGUCCAUUUCACUGCUUGGCUGUUCCCUCCACUCUGUGCUCUGUUGAUUUGGGAAUUUGGGUUGUGAAGGAAAGCCAGAGCUGCGUCCUCUUUCCAAAGAUGGAGGCACCAGAAAACAGCGGGACAUUUGGCUCUUAAUGCUCACCGCUUAACCGAUGACUGUUUCAUGAAGAAGGGCCAGAGGAAUCUGGAUUAGCAUCUCAAUUGUUAUCAAAAGCUGGGGCUUGUGCCACCUAAAGAGACCUUCCAUGCAGACUCAGAACCACAAGCUUUAAUGCCCGGUUUCUUCUUCUAUUUCUGCCUCUGUGUAGGGUGAGAACUACAUACUUCCAAGUUGCUCUGCAAUACUCCACCAACCACUAGUUGGCAGUUGGACAUGUCAUAUCACUGGUUUCUGGUCUUGCUGUAUUCCAUCCUUGUGUGUGUAUUGGUAACCAUCCGAUUUUAAGGUCACGAUUCAAUUAGAUUCUCUUUUUCUUUUUCUUACAGCACAGAGGCCUACACCAUUUUUAGACUGGUCUAGUCUACAGUCAUUGGUUUUAUUCAUUUAUGUUUGUACUGUAAUUGUAAUGGUAGGCUGGACCAGUGAUGGUGUUUUCCCAGUUGUUAAAUCAACAUCUUUGUGAUGCCGGCAAAUGUGUGCGGCCAUGUUCAUCGUGUUACCUAUUGUCGGGUAUGCAACAGGCACGUAGCAUAGUUUACACACUGUCAUCUUCUUGUUGACAACGCAAACGUUGUCGACGUAACUCACCGGAAACGCAAAGUAUUUCCAUACUUGAGAUUUGUGAGAGGCAGGAGCGGCUUCAAUGUGACUACAAUGUCAUUUGCUUCCGCUUCGCACAUCUCCGAGACGUGGAGGGAGGGGAUCGUCAAUCCUCUCUUUGAUUUUGAUUCUUGAGAUCAUGACGUACUUUCGAUCGAUUUCGAGACACCCCUAGUAACCAUGGUAACUGAAUAUGGGUGUAACAUAUUUGAGUUAAGGCUGAUAAAUGUUAUGCAGCCGUUGAUUAUGCUUCAGACCGAAAGAGAGGAGGAGACAGACUAAACGGCCACCGAGGAAGAGGACAGGGCGAACCGACCAACCACAAAGCUCGCAGCCUGUGUCAUUUUAACGCACAUUUACAUUUUUUAGGAAGUGUUGAUUUGCCAGAAGACCUUUAAGCGAUCUGGUGCAACACACUUUACCUGCUUGUAUAAAGAGAGCAUGGCUCCACCACUAACCUCAUGUUACAGGCCAAACACACAGAAGGAAAUGAAAAGUCAAAUAUUCACAAGUUGUGGUGAGGUUCACGGAAAUCUGGAAAAUUGCAAAUCUUGCCCGGUAGUCAAACCUUGGUCCUCUCUCACAUUCUCUGCACCUCUACAACUCCACAUUAUUCAUGUUGCAUUUUCCAGCACCAGCCUUUUGACUUCCUUGUAAGUGCAUUCAAGGUCUAUUUCAUCAUGUUUUAGCCAGAAGUCAUAAAAAAAGCGCAGGAAUGAAGGCACCCUGAGCAAUUAGAAUGCCUUGGGGUGCUGCGCGGUGUGGAAGUGUAAUUUUAACGGGGAGGUCUGCUUGGCUGUGCAGACAGAGACCAUCACCAGUCGAUACAUGCACCAGAGUUUAGAGUAAAUGGGGAUGUGCCAGACACUGUUUUGAGACAUCAAUAUUCUUGUUAAUGUCUGCUUGCUCCAAAACAGCACGGCAAAGACUCUCCAGCAUAUCACAGAGAGGAAAUAACGGUGUUUGAGUCCUCCUAUAAAAGCUGAUGUUGAAUUCAUAAGCCAUUGCUGUGAAAACUUUGCUAACUCAAACGUUUCCAAUGAAUGUCAAUGAGAAAGUGUUAUGAAGUGGGGGACAAGUUCGCUCAAGGCUGCAGAGGAUGGCGGCGCAGGAUGGUGGUCUGUGUGUGUUUAGAGUGCCAUUAAACAAAACAGAGACACUGAUACAGCAUGAAAAUCAUCUCCAGUUUCCAUAGAUCCGGCCCUUUUAGCCGCAAAUACUCUCAGAGGUCAAUACACCUAAUGCAUGUGAGCAAGACAGUAAACGCCUUGCAGCAUAAACAUGACAAAUAUAUGGAUUUGGCGUCGUAGUCCGUCAUGCUCCUUUGUGUUUGCUUUAUAUUGUUCUAACAAGGAGGGGAGAUGGGCAGCAAAUCAGAGAGGAGAGCGGACAGAUUGACAGCUCUUCAUCACUCUGUUUUGUUAUGGGGAUUUAUAAUUAAUCCUUCUGAGACCACCGCUGACUAUCCUCUUGACCAAUGGUGAAAAAAAAAAGAAGAGUACGAACUGAAUGCAGAUACAACAUACAUUAUUCUGUCAGAGAGCGGGUUCAUCCUCAGAGAGUUUCCGUGCAUAUUCAGAAAAGGAGGUUGUAUGUGGGAUUAAAUAUUUGCAGCUUUAAAAAUUGAUUUUUUGACUUCAAAGUUUCUUCAGCUUGCACGGCAUUACAAAAACAUGAGGACCAAUUUUCAAUAUUAUUUCAACAGGAAAUAUUCGAGAAGCCAAAUCUCAGCUGCAUGGUGUUUCAUAAUGUAACAGAAAAAAAUGAAAGAAACUGAAUUUGUUGUUAUUUUUAGUAUGAAGGAGGACGAUGCUUAUCGUACACAGAGGCAGAAAGUGUGGUACCCAACAACCCUUUCACUCAACUCUGAUAUAAAUCCAACAGAAGGAAAGUUAAAGGCUUGGGGAAAUUUCUAGAGUGAAGGAUAAAGUCCACAUUGGGCAGUAGCGAGUGGGGAUGGAUGUGCUCGGUCAGGCCGUGUCAGACUCAGAAUAAACAGACACAACAAUGCGCAUCCAAAUGGCACUCAACUCACACAACCUUGGGUGUCGGUAUGAUGUGUUGCAAGAGAGUGGCAAAGCAUCAGUUUCGGCCUCAAGGGAGGGAGGCCAAAACAGCAGUGAGAGAUGGUUUAAAGAUGAGGAAUCCACGCGCCUGGAUUUUCAGGUGGCUCUUUUUUGUCUUUACCUGGGGCUUUGUAACAUCCUCGCAGCAGUCGGCAGGUGUUUGAUCCCCAGAUUGGCCCUUAAAGUUGGAGUGUUCCCAUCUCCUGCUGUCAGCCUCCUCAUGCAAACUGUGCACACAGCCUUGUCAAGAUUCACCAGCUCUUCCCUGUCAUUUGGUUGAAACCAAUGUUGCCAAAUAGGGAAGUCAUUGAGACCAGCUCACUGGGAGCACGGCCCUCAACCUUCGCUCUCCUUUUUUCCCUUCUGCAUGAUCUGGUUCUCUCCAGCUUCCAUUAACAUGCUAACAAGUAACUCCAAAUUGCCCCUAUGUUUAUAAGAUUAGAUUAGAUUUUUUAUAUGUAAUUGCACAGCAGUUUUUAUCCCAAUGUUAAUGAUGUUUUAUUAGUUUUGGAUACCUUCUAACUUUGGUUAAAGAUGGGAUGGAAGUGGGUCUGAUCUUACAUGAUGGGGCUCAAUCAUUUCCCAUCUGUACGCUGGGUUUUUGUAAAAACAGUGUGAUUAAGACCUGCUUUAAUUAACUCUUGUUGUUAAUUAGCACUAUAUCAAUAAUGAUUGAUUGAUUAAUUGCCUACGGUUGUAAUAUGGUGUGCCAAAAGGGACAAAAAAAGGCAAUGAAAUCAAAACGAUACAUCACUUUGUAAUCAAUAUGUUCACACUGCCAGCCCAGCUGAAAAUAUUAAUAAAUUUGCAUGUGUAAUUAAAAAAAUGAUCGAUUUCCAGUUUCUAUUCCAAAUAAACCUGAUCACAGUUUUUUAACCAUGUCAAUGCUUUGUUUAUUUGCAGACUUAUACUAGUUUAACUAACUGAGGGUUUCAUAAUGUUAGAGUUUCAGGUCAAGAUUGGCCCAAAAAGCCAUGAAUACAGUAUCGUAGUGAUACUAUACAGAGCCCUAAUGGGGCGCUCACACCAAGCUCGAGUAAAAUCAUCUACUCGCUUAAUUCGUGCAAAUCUAGACACAUAGAUGAAUAGUAUUUACUCGCAUCAUUUGUGUUUAAAUGGUAGUUUCAACAGUAAUCCCUGCCAGUUUAACCAACAGGAUUAAGUGAUAGACAAAGGUUUUUUACAAUCUACCAGGUAAUCCGACCUCCUCACUCACUUGCCUCCAGGCGAGCUCCUAUUUAUUUAUAAAUGAGACUUUAAUGGCAACUGGAAAUUGGACCAAACUCUGUAAGUUAUGGUUUGGGUCACUCUCAUUGUGUUUCCUUGGGUGCAAAUAGAACACAUUUUGGAGUUUGUUUUCUAAUUUGGCACUUAAAUGGCAAAAGCAUAUAUACAGAGGCAAGUGAUAAGUUCAGUUGGCGAGGAGCAUCAUUAGCUGAUCAGAGUGAGAACAUUUAGUAGAAAGAUUUAGACUUUUACUGAAGAUCUCAGACUAAAAGUUUUUCCCUCCCCCAGUUUUCCAGCCUCGCUGUCAGCCAGCUUGGCUCGAAUUGGCACAAAAUAUGAAUUUUUCAAAGUUUGCUUGGAAAAAAAUGAGAGCAUCAGAAAUAUCUUCUGUGGAAACUCAUUCCUCAGAACUUCUGCAAUUGUCUUCAGAGUAUUUCAAUCUGAGUGUUAGUUUUCAAAGUCUGAAAACGCUGAAUGACAGAAGAUCUGAGGAAGAUACUGCGGCAAGCCGAAAUGAUCGACUCACUGAGGUGUGGGACGAGUAUGACAUCGUCCAUUAGUACGUGAAUGAAAUAAGACUCUCUGAUCAGACGAAUCCUUGCAGAAAAGAGGUCGCUCAGCAGGAACAUGCGAUGCUGGUGAUUCGUUGUCCUGCUGAGAAUCGGCAGACAUGCUGGUUAGUUUAGUUUGACAUUCUGAGAGGGGAGUCUCUUCUAAGACGCAGAUUAGAAGGACAAAGCACAGUCAUUACUCUGAAGCUCCCCCCUGAGGUCAACUUUAUCCCCCGUCCUUGAUUUUGAGGCUCAUCUCCCGCAGGUCUGCUACUUUUAAUCAAACAGCAGUUUGAAUAGAUCCUGUUAAAGUGCCUUUGUCUCCUGUGUCUGAGUAGCCUUUGUUUCCUUCACUCUUUGUCUCUCCUUCUUGACACGGGACCAAACAGGAUACAGGACAGAAAUGCUGCUCUCACAGAAUAAGUGCUGAUACUGUGGAUGUGAGAGGUCAGCAGUAUUGAGGAGGAGAGGAGGGUCAUUAGAAGGAUUUUCAGACCCGUCUGUCUGUCAAAGUGAUUCCUUUUGACAUGUGAUCUUAUUCUUUUGGGAAAUCACGUCAGACACAUGGGCGGACGUGAACAUGAGUGUGGGCGAGGACUGACAGUCAACCACAGAGAUAGUAAGGCAGAAAGACAACCAGAGACUUCCAGUUCAUGUGAACAUACAGACAGGGAGACAUAGAGAAAGUGCAAGCAGACCAUCAAACAGGUUCAUUUAUCAAAGAGACACAAAAACAUUCGACAGUGUUUUUGGUGACGUUGACAGUAUUUCCGUCUUUAUGUACCUCUGUGCAGAAAAGAAGAGGGUUUGAGGAAAGACGAGGUACAUGUGCUGGGAAACACAGACAUACCAGGAUUUUUUUACGAUGACUCCAACACAGAAUCUCAGGAGAGAAAGUCUGAACAGAAACAAAAACCAAAAAACACACAUGUCAUCAGUCACACAGACUUUUAAAACACUUGUAACAGCUUCAGUCUGACUGAAAUCUCUCUGAAUUAAACUUCUUACUGUCAACUCAACAAUCAUCCUUUCUUUACACCAGAAAAUUUUUAACAAAACUUAGGAGACUAAUGCUGUGUUCCACUUACCUCGGAAGUUGGAUGUCGGAGCUGGGAAUGACGCUACACCCAAGUUGACGGCGUUCCAGUAAACAAGUCGGAAAACCAAGAUGGACGCCUACUGUUAGCUGUUGUUUACAAUUGUCAGUUGUUGUUAGCCGUUGUCAGCUGUUGUUAGGUGUUGUUAGCUAUACCAUUUGUAAACAACACAACACAGUAUUUUACUCUUACAGACACCAUAGCACCGUGUUCACAGUUAGACGUUGGGCAGUACAACAUACACCACUUAUUUAAUUUCACAAAAACAAAACAGAAGUGCUAAUAAAUAAUACAUUACGAGAGCUUUCACUGUUACUCUUUACUGUUGAUGCACUGCGCUGCCAUCUUGGAUUAUGACGUUGUCGUCAAGUCGGGGUUGGUGAGGAUCGUCCAACUUUCAGAGUUGGAAAUCUAACUUCCGGGGGGUGUUCCAGGUGAAUUUCUGACUCGAAGCGUAGAAAUCCAAAUUCAGGGUAUUCAAAUCAAAUCAAAUUUUAAUUGUAUAGCGCCGAAUCCCAACAGUCGUUAUCCCAAGAUGUUUUCCAAAAAAGAGCAGGUCUAGACCACGCUCAUUGUUUGAUGAAUUACCAAGAACAAACCAUAAGAUGGGAUAGAUUUGACCCCUUAUCUAACAUAAGUGACAGUGGCAAGGAAGAACCCUUUAACAGGCAGAAACCUUGAACAGGACCAGACUCAUGUUAGACAGCCACCUGCUGCUGCUGAGUUGGGGAGAAAUACUGUUAAAACACUAAAAUGUAAAAGAGACGGGUCACAGACUAAGAUUUGAAAGGUCACUAUUAAUGAAAAUAAACAGUAUUAAAAGUAAUUGGAACAUGUUUUUAUCGCCUUUUUUCUUGACUUCUGGAUUUCAUGUCACAUUCACCCAUUCACACUACAUUCAUAGACUGAUGAGCGCAGCCACUAGGGGCAGUUUUGGGUGUAAAUGUCUUCAGCAUGUGGGCAGAGAGCCCUGAGAUUCAGAGAUGACUGGUAUCUCUCCUGAGCGACAGCCGCCCCUGUAUGAGUCAUUAUCAGCUGGUUGUCUAAUAAAGCUGACUGUAGGUACAAAAGAUGCCUGCAUGUCUGUGAGGUGUUGCCAGGAAAGUCUUCUUUGCAGAGGCCAGCUUUCACUGAUGUGAUGUGAAGGAUCAGAUUACGAGUUUUCUCUGUCUUCCAUUGAGAAGAAUAGACUACCAAACCCACUGCCUGCAUGAAAAAUAAUGAACACCCCCUAUUCUAAGCUCUACCCUGCUAGUGCAUUUGAAACUGGAAUCUCACUGUGAGUCUAUUGUUAUUCUGAAAUGAAAACCUAUUGAAGGUAAGGCUCUAAAAUAGCAAAGUAAUACUGUAGCUUUGUGAUCUAUGAGCUACCUGGUAUGGAGGAGAGGCUGGGAAAUGAAAAAGCAAAAUAAUACACAGGACCUUGGGAGGAAUUCACUUCUGUGUGAUGCAUCGCUCGGCCAUUCCUCAAACUGUAAUUACCCCGAUCUUUGGAUUCCCAGCCUAUCUGGAAUCUGACCACAGAGCACAGAAACAUGAAUAAUGGAGGUCCUAAAGGAGUCUCAAUUAGGUUUUUAUAUUGAGGGGAAAUAAAUGAUUCACAUCUUAAUAUCUUUGGUGCUAAAGAGGCUUUUGGAGAUCUCUGACAGAUAUUGUUUUAUAUUAGUAAUAAGUUAUUGCCGCCCUGCAGCAGCACGGCCCUCGAACCAUCAGGAUUCACCGUGAGAGACAGAGUCAGAGAGGCAUGUUAUUGUAAUUCCACCACAUCUGUUUAUGUGUCAUUAAACAGAUUUACAUUAUGUAUGGCAGGCCAAAGGUGGACGGAUGGAUAUGAAGAGCAUCAAUAAUAAUGAGGCAGACAUUGAUAGCAGGAAUGUGGGUUUGUGUGUGUGUGUGUGUGUGUGUGUGUGUGUGUGUGAUUCCUGUGGCGUUCACUGACACUCUGCUCUUAACCCGGAGGGAACGCCAAUAAACAGAUGGGUUCAAUGUGUUGACAUGCAGUUAAGUGCAGCAGAAGGGUUCAUUACCCCGAGGAGACGAUCGCAGAACAGACAUGGCUCUAGUUCACGUCAACCGUGAGUUACCGUCAUUCAUCACGGUGACUCUGCCUGAUGGAAACAGCCAAGCUUGUGUAAGCUUUUAUCGUUACUAAAGAAAAGGAAACGAGGCAGAAUCGAGGAAGGAAAGAAACGCUCAUAUUUUGUGGGGUAGCUAAACUAAUUUAGUCUCUGCCUCAUGAUCACCAACUUUGUUUCAUUGCAUAAAAGAACCAUAAACUAUCAGGAAAAAAAGUAGUUUAAGCCUGCAGGAUGUUAAUCUCUGGGUUUUCCAUCUACUAUUAAAUAAAGUGGAAGAGGAAGUGACUAUAUUUGGACGAGGAGAUUUAAGAGAGGUUAUUGCUGAUCUGUUUUGAUGGACUGAAGAGGAGGUGAUAGGGCUGGGCGAUAAGGCCUCAAAUCAAUAUCACGAUAUAUUCAGCAGUUCACCUCGAUAACGAUAAAUAGAUGAUAACUACUCCAAAAGCUGCUCACUCCCUCCCACAUUAACUCCGUCUACUUCAGCCGCUACAACUUUUGACCCUUUGUUACGGACUGGAUGGCGUGGAGUCAUCUCUCUGACAUAGGACAGCGUCUUAAAGGGACAUGAGGCAAAAUGACGUCAGUUAGAAUACAAUAGAAUAUUCCUUUAUUGAUUAUUAGUUAUUGUCGUUAUCUGUCAAUUUUCGGUUAAUCGCCCAGCCCUAGGGGGUGAUACCUUGUGGCAGGCUAUAAACACAUCAACUCUUCCACUUGCAUCCACAGUUUUCAGUUAUGUGCCACUGAAAGGUUAUAGUCAGUACAUUUACAUGCACAGUUUGUUAUAGCUUGAUGAGGCUAUUUAAUUAGACUACUGUCCCUAUCCCAGUUUACAACACCAGGCAAGAAUCUGUUAAUUGAUAAAGGUAUGUCCAGCCUUGCUCUAGGAGCUUUGGCUGUCUCACACUUUUAACCCCAUGUCCAGUUUGAGUGAAACUAGCUUAAUAAAUCAAAAUGUCAGACUUGUAAAUGACCCCGAAGCUGUAAAAAUGCACAAAAUAUUUUAAUAUAAGUUGUUUUGCAAUGUUAUUUCAUUGAAAUGAAGUAAACUCCUGAAUGCACACGGACAGCCAAAGCACAUUUAUAGUAAAUCUUUUUAUGACAAAUAGCAUCAGCCAACCGCUGUAGCACACCGAUUCAGGUGCAUCACCUCAACCUCCUGGUUUGGAUAUUACCCAAUAUACAAAUAUCUUUUCACUAAGUCUGACAGAGCUGAAAAAAAACAACAAUGCUUCCUUUGAACAAACAGUCUCUGAGUGCACACACACACUACACUAAGACCGUGUAAAUCUAAAUUAAUUUGAAGACAAACAUCUGGACAUAAAAUUUGUCAGACUCUGUAAAGUCAGGGGCAGCUCUCUGGUUCAUACAAAUUAACUUUCUUCACCACCAAAAUGUUAAAUCUUCCCCACUACCUCCAGCACAAGCAUUGAGGAGGUGUAAAAAGUUUGUGUUUAUGUGCGAGAUUUUAAUAUGUCAUGGUUGGAUGUGCAUUACGAUGAUAGUAUAUCUCCUCUCACCAGAAUAGAGCGCUACUUGACUAGUCGUAACAUUUGUUCAACAACUCACAGAAAACCAGCCGAAGUUCUGUUGAGUCCAUCUAAAUCAAUCCCUAACCCAGAACUGCCAAGUUAAGUUGAAAACCACCCAAUCUGACAGCAGUUGGCAAAGCACAUGGCAAAGAGUGAGUUUUAUCCUCUCUUUGGUCUGCUGUUUUUUUUUUUUUUGUUUGUUUGUUUUUGUUUUUCUACCUGAUGAGCCAUCAAGAAACCAACUAUUAAACUAUUAUACUCAGGAAGGGUCAAAUAAACGAGCACUGAAUAAGCCAACCCAAUCAAGUUUAAGCACAGAGAGGAAACUUCUAAGUAAAUACCAAAAUACUGUAUAAAAAUAAUACAACAAAAAAAAAAAAAAAAUGCCUCAAGUGGCCAAUCAAGGAACUGCACAUUUUACAGGGUUUCUACACAAGUACGGAAAAGUAUGGAAGCAAUUUGAUCAAUUUGCAGGUCUUAAAAAAUUAUGGUAAAAAAAAAAUAAAGUAUGGGAAAAUAUUUAUGUUGACAGACUAUAUUACCACAGUUAUAAAGUACAGUUUUCUAAAAUAGAAAAGUAGGUAUUUCCAAAAAUAAUUCCAAAAAGUAGGGUAUGGAAAAGUACGGAAAUUCCAACUGUGUAGGAACCCUGAUUUUAACCCUUUCCAGCCCUAAAGAUUACCGCUGAACUCCAAACUAAACACAUUUUGAACCUUCAUUAUGUUUUAUCACGAAUAUCAGAGAGUAAAUGUUGCACUUACAGCGAUCUGAAUUAUACAUGAACUCAGAAAUGAAAAUUCUGGGGUUUUUGACAGAGAGAGCUUCCUUUGCAUCCGUUUCUAUCAGCUUUACAGAGAUGAAUACAAUCUUUUCUCUCAUUCAUCUGCACUGUUGUCACAACACCAGCACCUGCUCUGUCUGACUCCUUUGUUGGGAAUGUGCACACAUGGAGAAAGCUGAUUAGAGACCUCGUUAUGCAGAUUUGUGUUUACAUGGCCAAGAAACUGUCUUUGGCAGGAGGAAGUGUAGCUGAGGAAACAGGGUUGUCUCAUCUCAUAACUGCUGGGUUUCUUACAGUGUUUACAUGACAUCUACUUACUCUAGCUUGACAGCGGCCUUAUUAUUGGAUGUAAACACACUGGCUGUUCAAAAUUGAGUCUUAAAACUGGAAUAAACACUUUUACUGGGGGAACUUUUUAGAGCUCAGCUAAUUAGCGAGAUAAAAUAUUGGGCUCUUCAGCACCCUCAUAAAAGUCACAAGAGUAAUAUCUCAGAUUUGAGAGCGCCAUCUAUCACUACAGGUGUGAAACAGAGGCUAUGAACCUGAUAGAAGUCUCAUUUGUUUGCAGUCAUUAUACCCAAAUAUCACUUUCAAUUUAACAAGAACCUUUUAGUUUCUCUAUUUAAAGAACAUGGUUUUGAUUCAGAUGUGUUUGUAUGCUGUUUAAGGUGGGAAAAGUGACUCACAGCUGUGGGAUUUGAGCCAAGUAGAAGCAGACACGAAGGGAAUAGUAAUCUCCUGCAGCAAAUCUCCAUAAGCAUAAAGUGUCUGCUUUUAAAUGUUUGAUCACCUCAUUUUAAUUCUCUAUGCAUCGGGGGCAAAGGUGUGAAUUAUUUCCUCUGAUACUCUGGCUCGGUGAGUGACAGCAGACAGGAGCGUGUUGCUGAGUUAAUGUGAUUUAUCCGGAGAAGCCAAUCUGCUUGUUGACAAUAAAACUGCUGGCAAUUUUUAGCAUUUACCGCAUGAUCGAUAAAGGCCAAACACUAAAACUACACAAGAAGUAUUAAAAACUUUUUUCAUUGGGAUGGUUUGUCGGUGUCAUAAUUCUGUUCUUGUUGUUCAGAGGAUUGAUGGGUUUGUCCACUAGGGGGCAGAAGAAACAAGUUUUAGACACGUUACUAUUUUAGUGAUAUUGCAAAAACAUGUUAGCUCUUCAGCAUUUGUCAUGUUGAUUACAAAUUUCAUAUGCUUUUCUUGUCCACAGUUAGUUUGGCAGCAUGUAGGUAAAGUGAUUACAAGCUCUUCAGCUGUUUCACAGUAAAUUACCAUGAGGGCUGUCCAAUAUCACAUUUUAAUUUUAUGAUUACCAAAGCAAUAAAAGCCCUCUAUAACGAUAAUUAAUAAAGCUAAAAAAAUCAAAAUAUUUGGUUGAAUUGAGAGAAGGGCAGAUAUGGAUGGGACAAGACGUUAAUCUUGGCAAAUAAAUGUAACUGAUUCAUUUACAUUUUAAUGAUGUAAACAGACAUAUAUUUCAUCAGCCCAAUAGCCAAUACUCCAUUGGAGAAGACAAUGUCUAGUAACGCGGUUGUUUUUGAUGCUUUUAAUCUGACAUUCCUACUGUCUUGUGUUAAGGUUGCUUUAUUUUAGGUGUUGUAAAUCCAUGCUUUUAUUUUGAAAUCAUGUAUAUGUUAUUUUAAGUAGAUUAUAAAUGACUGAACUGAAACAAAAAGGCUAAAAGAAAGGACAGAAAGAAUAAAUGUUCAGUUUGUUAGCUCUUAUCUCAGUUAAUCCUGGAAUAUCAGUAUCAAAAGUGUCAGCUGAUUAGGGCUGGGCGAUAUGGCCUCAAAUCAGUAUCACGAUAUAUUGAUCAGUUCACCUCGAUAACGAUAAUGGACGAUAACUACUCCACAAGCUGCUCACCCUCUCCCACAUUAACUUCAUCUACUCCAGCCGCUACAACUUUUGAACCGUCCUCCAUCUCCUCACCUUUCUUUCCCUUUUUGUUACGGACUGAAUGGGGUGGAGUCCCGUCUCUGAUGUAUGACAGCGUCUUAAAGGGACAUGAGACCAUAGCCUACCUACACACAUCCCAAACCAACUUUUAUUUGUUUAUUUUUUUGACACCGAAUUCAUUUACAUGGGCAAAAUGUUGUUGGUUAUUGUUGUAAAUUUUGGUAUCAGUAAAUUUUCAGUUUAUCACCCAGCCCUACUGCUGAUAGCUCAGCAGUUUAAGCACCCUAGUCGACUUCUGGCCUCGGCCCUUAACUGCAUGUCUCUCCUCACUCUCUAUCAGUCUAUCCUCAGCUGUCCUUUCUAAUAAAACCAUAAAAAUAGCCAAAAACAUACAAUGUUGAACUGCAAAGUUUCCAACUUUAGUCAGUCAGGAAUUGUUUUUGAAUUAAAGAGUCACUUUGUCUGGUUACAUUUCAUUUACCUGCCCAGACAAAAAUAGCAAUCAAUUAAAUGUCUCUAUUAUUCCCUACAAUCCUCUACUAUAGAUUUCCUUCACUCAAGGACAGCUUUGGUAAAAAGAAAAGGAGCCUGUUAAUGAAAAAAGAGCCUUGAGGGAUGAACCAAGGACAACCGCAGAAGGCUGUAAUUUCCAGAGGAGGUGCAUUUUCUGUCAGAAAUCUCCUUAACUAGAUAUUGAUUUAGGAUAGUCGCAGUUACAGGUUUAGUUUGGGAAUAAUACUCUUCAAGCUUGAUGUCUUAACUUAAAACUUUAUUUUUCCAGUUUAAUUAAAAACUUCUGCAUCAGUUAUAGCUUGAAAAAUCUCCAUGCAAAGUGGCCAAAUUCAGAAAACAUGCAAAAGCCCAAACAAAUGCAAAAGCUUAAAAGAAAUCUGUGCUGCAAAAAGCUGACAUAACUGCAUUAACAUUAAACGUGCUGCAAACAGAGUAUGUUUUGACUCGCAACAGUGAAUACAGCAGCGAGAAAUACAGCGGGAAUUGCGCUUCCCACUCCGACUGGGACAUCAAAAUGUUGACUCAAGCAAAGGACCAGAUCUCCUGAGACUCUGCAGACUGUUGUUGUUGACGGAGGUGCAGCGCAAUUUCGAGUCUAGAGAACAAAAUGAGAACAUCAAUUACAAAAAUGUCAGUGUCCGGGGUCUAAUUGGAUUCAGUGUAACCCACAGAGGGAUUACUGGUUAGAUACAAACCGUGUGGUUAUAUGAAAAAAGAAAGAUAAAGGCCGAACAUAAUGCUACAGAGCGUUUACUAAAGCAGAGUAGAAACCUUGAGAAAUGUGAAGAAAGAGGAUCACAAGUAUGAGGAGUAAUUCAGCAGAGACUUCCUGGGUAACAUGUUUUAAAGAGCUUAUAGUGAGGUGGUUUAGGGUCCAUGUAUGAGUUAAAGACACACUGGUGUAACUGUAAUCUGUGAAUAAAACCUCUAAAACAGACCGCUCUGCCACCCACAAAGUCUGCCUUCAAAUCAUCUGUAUCAUCAUUGAUUUCUCUUUCAUCAUCCACUCCUUUUUAAUAUUGCAUCUGCUAAUCACUGAGUUCAAAGAGGAGAUUUAAACUCUCUACAUUUAAUAGUUUCUAUCCAGUCCUUUCAGAUUUACUUACAGCAGAGGGCAGAGAUGAUUCAUGACUUUGUGACUUUAAAGCUGCUCACAGCAAUGAAGUUAUAAUUACUGCAGAGGCAGAGACUGUGACCCAAAACAGAGGGACCAUUUGUAGUGAAACCUGCUGAAAAGUGAUGGGGAGAAAAGUGGAUUGGGACUGGGCAGAUGUGAUGUAACAGCUAAGAAGAGGUGGGCACAGUUAAUCCAUAAUUUAACAAGAUUAACUGUUAACCCAUGAACUUUAAGAACAGUUAUUCUUUUUAGAAGUAAAACAUUCAUGUAAAAACCUGAUGACAGUCUGACAGUCCAUCCUUUUGGCAGCGACGAGGGUCCUCAAGGUCCAGAUUCCAGGUUUAAUCUAAACACAUUAUAACUAUAAAGAUCCACAGAUUAAAAUCUGAAAAAGGCCGUAUGCUCUGUUUAAGUCAUCUGGGAUCAAUUUUACCAGGUAAGACCAGCUUUUGGAUCCUUCUUCUUUCUCAAACCUGGUGAUUUUUCCCAUCGGCAUCAAUAUAUACAUCAACAAAUGAACAUUCAAAAUACUGAACCCUCAGAUGUAUUAUUCAGUAAUGACAAGUCCAACACUCGGUAUCCUCUGGUGAUUUUUCUUUUACAAACAGUCCAAUUUGGCUUGAACAAACUGACCUAAAACAGAAGCACAGUCUCGCCUCCCAUUAGUUUGUAGUGAGGGGUUUUAAAGCAGAACAAUGGUGGUCUACUUGUUGGGAACUUUUAGAGACUGGCAAAGGGCUGGAGCUGAAGCAGGUCACCACCUUCAGCUACAUCAGGCCUGUCAAUUAAAAUCCCACUCUGAUCUUUUUUUUUUUUUUUGUACUACUUAAAAUGUUCUCAGCGCUCUUUGAAUUGUGAUUAAGUUUUCACCCAAAAUCACGUUACCUGUUUCAUUUUCAAGGGCUUUUCUUCUGCAGAGCUCCAGUAGCUGGGCGGAGACAGCGCGACUCUGCACACUUCUAGCUUGUAGCCCAACAUUGUUAGUGUAGUAGAAGUGGCAGGUAACAUAGAAGCUAUUUAGCUCUCAGACACUAAUGUCUUUAGGGACAUGAUUAAAGUUAAUAUCAUAAUUAGCUUUCUGACGAAUAUUGCAAUCUGCUAACGUACACGCUUGUUCCACAAUUGUUCUCUCUACUUUUCCAAGUCUGGCCUGCAUAACUGGGCUCGGGGGGCGGAGCUUGGAAUUGUGACAUAGGAAAUCUUACUGUGUCUGAGCCUACAUUUUGGGUCUGCCAGAGAUUCACAGCAUUUGAAUGCAGCAUUACUCAGAAAUGUAAUUUUUCACUUACUUUUCUCAUGAUAUGUCCUGUAGCAUCAGAAAAAUUCCAUAUGAACAUGUAGACAACAAGAAAAACAUGAUUUUCAUCAGAGUGAGCCUUUAACACAGCUGUACCACUGUUUAUGCAACCCAAGUCUUGGUCACUUCAUCUUGGAUAAAGAGCGAUUAAGAUCUUCACUAUUUUUUUUUUACACUGGCUAUAAAAAUGUUUGAUUUGCUUUGCCCAAGAAAUUUAGUAUUUUAGAGCCCACCUUUUUUUUUGCACUCCUGCAUUGACCGCCACUUGGUUGUAAACUCUCCACCAACUUAAGGCCCUGUGAUUGAUGUGGGUCGACGCUGAUCACAGCAUGUUUGUACUGUGAUGUUGUGACUCCCAGUCUCUCUUUCUAAUGGUUUUAUAAGAGAUUAAAACCUGGAGUAACAUAAACAGUUGUAAAAAUCCCUCUAAUUAUGUGUGGAUUAUAAUUAGCCUUGAAACAGACAUCAGCAGAGCAAAUUUGGUAUAUUCCAUUAUAUUCCACUUUCUGUCUUUUAUUUGGUGUUUCAGCACAUCUAAUCUAUUUAUUUCAAUCAAAAAAGAGCUGCUGCAAAAUGAGCUCAUGCAGUAACAACCACAGUAAAUAAAGCCAGCGAAUCCUGGAUGUUUUCUUCUAUAACACAUUGUCAGACAUAUUGUUAGUAAGAACUGGCAGCUGCAGAAACAAGUGUAUGUUUCAGAUUGGCUGGAUAACAUAAAGCUUGAACGGCCUUUAGAAGAAAACCGAGACAAACAGGACAUCUGACAGCAGUGGAUGAACAAGUCUCAGAGGAGCCUUAAUCUUCUGUUCCUGCUAAAAAACUUCAGUCUGAAGAAUCAAAGUCCCCAGAUCCACCGGCACAUUGUCUCUGAGUUUGACAGCAACAAACAAACCCAAGGUCACUCAAUCACAACGACAUACUAGAGGUGUUUUUCUCAGCUUUUUUUUUUUCUCCUUUGUCACCACGGAGAGACGACUACAGAGAAAGGAAGUGUCACAGCGCAUAGACGUCCUUGGCUGAACCCAAUUUGAACUGUCUGAUUUUGGACAACAUGACCAGCUGGCUCUAAAGGAAAAAAAAGUUUGAAAAUGCCAGCUGGACUUCUGAUUCCCCAGGCAGAAACUUUUCAGUCUCUUUGUUCUCUGUUACUUAAACUCCAAAAACAAGAAUUAAACCCAAACAUGGAGACAUGAAGCUUUCAUCAGUAUUUGUGCACAUUACAGACACAGUCUCAUAGUAAUGAUUUGGCAUUAACCACUGUGAAAAAAAAAGCCUCAUCUCUCCUCUGUAUAUGUCAAUGUUUGUUGCUACAAGUACUGCUCUUGUCUUUAUCUAAAAUUAAAUCUUUUAAUUACACUGGUUUGAGUCUGUCUGUGACAAUCUCCUUAACAGCCCUCACGUCUGGCUAACAUUUCUCCUGAAGAGAGAGACAGCGCCAAAUUAACAUUCAGCUCGCAUAUGAUCUGUAAUCAUCUUUUAAUUAUCAGAGCACGCCAUGUGAGCAAGGUGACACGCCACAGGCGCCACACUUACAGUCGCACCACAAGGCCAAAAGUUUGUGGACACCCAAAUAUUACACUCACACCCAGACUGCAGAUGUCAGGGUAGAGUCGGCUGUGGAAAUGCAAGAGAUGUUAUGGUUUGCUGUACCAAACCAAACCAAACCAACCUGCUGGGAAAUUAGUGUGAGGAAAAAGGAACAGUGUGCUUACCUGUCAGUCAAGUCAGCCGCGCCUCUGAUUCUAGUUCAGGUAGAACCCUAAUAACCUCCAAACGAACAUGUUGCAAUAAAAAAAUCACUCUCAAAACAGUGGGUGCAGUGAAAGCCCUGAACUACCAUAGUUAACCAAGGUCAACUAUGGGGUAUUUUAUCAAUAUGUCAUUCAAAAUAAUUCACUCUAAUUCCAAUUAGUAAAGUCUAAAAUAUUCAAGAGUAAGUCAAGUCCAAGGUGAACUUUGUGGUCAUGAAACUUCAGGUAUCUUUCCCAAAAACUUCCCAAAUGAUGAACUAAUUGUCUUUCUUAUCUCAAAGACUCCAAAAUCAGGCAACUGGACUGUGAUGUCAGGGUAGUUGGCUGAUUUACUCUCACUCACUCUUCUUGUAGUCAAAAUUAUUUAAACUUACAGACAUUGUGAAAUCCCAGCACAAAUUAUGCAUAAAGCUAAAAAUAACCUUCUACCACAAAAUAUACAGAAUUUGUUUGGGGAUCAAGAGGGAAGUAUAACUUCAAAAUUAAUAAAAUCCACACAAGCAGAAAACGGUUUUGCAUUUCGUUCUGUGAGGUGAGACUGUGGAUUGGUAUGUGUGAGGAGUUAAAACAAUGUCCAAACAUAAAAGAAUUUAAAAUAAAAUAUAAAGAAUAUGUUUUCACGGGAUACAGGGAUGUACAAUCAUAGUAACUUUAAUCAUUAUCAUCAUUGUUUUGUUGUUGUUUUGUUAUUUUCACUGUGGUGAUUAUUUGCUAUUAUUAUGAUGAUGAUGAUGAUUAGUGUUAUUAUAUAAUAAUAUGGUAUGUAUUUAAACCAUUAGUGUAAGAGAAGGGGUGGGAAUAGAUAAGUCUCGACUUCUUCCCACUCCUUUUUGAACAUUAAUAAAUUUUUAAUCAAUAUUAUUAUUUUAUAUGUUCAAAAUAAACUUUAAUCAAUCAAUCAAUCAGUUUUGGAGUCUUCGAGAUAACCAUGACCUGGAUGAAUGAGAAUCUCCAUGGACUAAUUGUUUUUCUUCUUUUCUUUCAGGACUCAUCACCGGCUGAUCCUGGAGUUGUGGAUCUCCUCCCCCCCUACCCUCGUUCCUCCUGCUGUGUCUCCCUCAGGUAGAAGUUCAUCUGCUUUAUGAUGUUUCGUUUUGUUCCUGUUUGAAGUGGUAGUUCACUUUAGAGUCUGAGUUUAUUAUUUCACCUUUUCACUGAGUGUUUCGAGACUUAGGUCACGAUAAAAAGUGAGGAUUUGUGACACUUCAAUUAUUUACUUCAAAGCUUUUAGGUUUCAUAAGUCAGCAGUUAACUUAAAAUAGUUUAGAUUGAACAGUUUUCUAGACUUUAAAUCUUUGCUUCUGAGUGGAAAUGUUGGUGCACUUCAGUGUUAUCUGUCAUUUCCAUUCAUAGCAAAGAUUUAAAGUCUAAAUAUAUUUUUAACAAGAAAACGGUUCAAUCUGAAAUUAGUUCAAAUUAGAAAAACUGAAGAGAAACAUGGUGAGAAAAUUUAAAGCUGAGCGUUUAAGUCCAAAUAGUUGAGUAAUUAAGAAUAAAUUUCAUAUAUUAAUAAUUUUAAUCAAUACAAGCUGUAGGCCAAAAUUGAAAUUGAAAAAAAAAAUGCAAUAUUAAUCAUUACUCAUCUAAUAUUUAAAUAGAUUAGAUGAGUAAUGAGUCAAGAAAAUAUAAAAUUUAGGCAAAAUUAUGAAAAAUUAAACUUGAAAAUGUUUGAACUGAUAGGAAAUAGUCAAGAAAAAAAGUUAAGAUUUUUUUUCAAUAAGUGGAAGAAAAUGUUGAACUUUUUCAUGAUAUUCUGAUUCAUUGAGAUGCACUUAUAUUAUAUAAUGGACAUAAAUACACAUGUCAUAUAAGUAGAAAAGUGUUGUCAUUAGUAAGUUUAGCAACAUCUACUGGCAUUAAAUAACUCAUAUCAACUCAGAGAAUAUCGACCUUAAAGCUCCUCUGAGAGCUCACUUAAGUGUCUAAAACUGACACUACGAAAACACUCAAAGCUGACAGACUUUAACUUUACCGUAAAACUUAAAACUUUACCUCAAAGCUUCAAACAAACCUGCUGAAUUACACUGAAUUACACACUAAGCACUGAGAGCUGAUCUAUCUCUGCACACCUGAGUUGGAUUUAAAAAGUCCACAAGGUCAAAAACAAAAGUUACUCCCUGAGCUGUAACUACUGCUGUAUGAAAACACAACAGCAGCUGAGUGUUACAUAAAAAACCCAACACUACAGCUGCUGAAAACAUGAACAGCACUAUCAGGGACUGAAGACCCUGAAGGUGUUGAGCACAACAACACAACUCACCCACGCUGUCCUCUGCAGGUCCCACGAAGCGCCGAGUCUCCAGUCCUCCUGCAGACACCUGAGGAUCAAACACGAGGAGGGGAAGACUUCAGGAUUUGGAGUUGAGGACCCAGUUAGAUAAAGCAAUAGACAUAAUACAGAAAAUACGCCCCCUGGUGGUCAGUUUUGACAUAACUUGUGAUUAGCUUCUGCACACAAGUUUUAUAAAGUACCAGAUCUGAUGUUUUUCUGGAUUUUCUAUGCAAAAACGUUCGUUAACAGUUACAAAUAAUUUAUUGAAGCCAAUGAAGUCAUUACUUUCUCUUUUUUUUUUUUUUUUUUUUUUAUACAGGUUUUAGCUUUAAUUUUAAAUGCUGAUGGGUUAAAUACAUUUAAAGGGUUUCAGAGCAGUAUAGACACAGGAACACAACUGAUAUGAUCGAUUAUUGGGGGAUUUUUUUAUCCAGUUACAAUUACAGACAAAUGUUAGCCUUAACCCUGGCUGAUGACAUUCAACUUAUUGUUUAAAAUAUAUAUAUAUAUUAUGAUUACUUAAAAUGUAAUAUUAUAUUGCUAUUAACAUAUAUAUGUAUAUUAGCAUUUCUAUCAUUGCCAUUAUUGUUUAUUUUUCAUGUGUAGACUUUUGUUUGUUAAUUUAAAUAUACAUUUUGACCUUUACAAAUAAAGAUUACUAAAUUUGUUGUAUUUUAUUCUUGUUUUUAUUUUU
Xyrichtys novacula (pearly razorfish) is the source of this 60458-nucleotide non-coding RNA. The record is from the annotation of a GenBank genome assembly. Lineage: Eukaryota; Metazoa; Chordata; Actinopteri; Labriformes; Labridae.